UUGUUGAAACCUCAACCGGAUGAGUCACUACUGCUGUACUUAGCGGUUUCGGACAUGGCGGUCAGCGCCGUCCUAGUCAGAGAAGAAAGUGAGGGCCAGUUGCUAGUAUACAACGUCAGCAAAGCACUUCUCCCAGCUGAAACACGCAACCCAGACAUGGAGAAACUGGCGCUCGCCCUUAUCACAGCCUCAAGAAAACUGAGAUUGUACUUCCAGGCCCACUCAAUUCUAGUUCUCACCAACUUCCCACUGAAGCAGGUGAUGCAUAAAACAGAUGCAUUAGGACGCAUGCUAAAAUGGGCAAUCGAGCUCAGUGAAUUCGAUCUAACGUUCUGACCUCGACACGCCAUCAAGGGCCAGGCCCUUACUGAUUUUAUGGUUGAGUUUGUCAAAGCCCCAGAAAUGGAGGCGAUAAUGGAACCAGUCGAGCCCCCAAUAUGGAAACUAUUCGUAGACUGGUCCUCAGGAGAGACUGGCUCAGGGGCAGGGAUCGUAUUGGAAAGCCCGGAAGGUCACAAGCUAAAUUGUGCAGUAAGUCUGGCUUCAAAGCCUCGAACAACGCUGCUAAAUACGAGGCCCUUCUGUCAGGUCUUAGACUUGCUUAGAAGAUGCGUGUCAGAAAGCUCCUGGCGAGCAGUGACUCUCAACUUAUAGUGAACCAGGUCAAUGGAAAUUUCGCAGCCAAAGAUGGUAGCAUGAUUGCAUACUUGAAGUUGAUUCUGAACCUAGAUCCUCAUUUUGAAAGGUUCGAACUGACUCAAGUCCCCCUUCUAGAGAAUGUACAUGCAGACGCCCUUUCAAAAUUGGCCAGCAGCAAGGAUUCAAAGUUGCUAAAGGUCGUUCUUAUUGAGUACUUAUCAAAGCCCUCCACCUCCGGAGGUGAAGAGAUACUAUAGAUAAAAGGCACCCCAUUGUGGAUGCAACCUAUCAUCGCCUACCUGAAGGAUCAAACACUACCUUCUUCUAGAAGCGAGGCGAGGAAGUUAAGAAGAAGGGAUGCACACUUCGUCCUGCAAGAAGAUACUCUUUACAAGAGAGGCUUCGUCUCACUGCUUCUUCGAUGCGUGAGAGGUAAAGAGGCCACCUACAUACUUAGGGAAAUCCAUGAGCAAAUCUGGGGAAAUCACUCCGGAGGAAUGGCUCUGGCACACAAGGUUCUCCUUCAAUGCUACUUCUGGCCGACCCUGAAAAGGAAUACUUGCCAGUUUGUCCAGAAAUGUGUCAAGUGCUAGCGCUUCUCAAACAUACAAAGACAACCUGCUCAGAGCCUCUCCGUAGUAACCAGCCCUUAGCCAUUCGCCAAGUGGGGCAUUGACUUCAUUGGUCCACUCCCAAAAGGAAGAGGAAGUGCAAAUUUCGCCAUUGUCGCCAUUAACUACUUCACUAAGUGGGUCGAGGUAGAACCUCUUGCCAGGAUCAACAAGGUGAAUACUACCAAAUUCAUCUAGAAGAACAUCAUUUGUAGGUUUAGCAUUUCCCACUCUUUAGUGUCUGACAAUGGAAGGCAGUUCGACAACAGGAAGAUGCGAGACUUAUGCGAUGAACUAGACAUAAAGAAGGACUUCUCAACACAUCAUCACCCCCAAGCAAAUGGGCAAGUUGAAGUAGUGAAUAAGACUAUCAAGCACACCCUGAAAAGGAAGCUUGACACCUUAAAGAGGGCCUGGGUUGACGAACUCCCCCACGUCCUCUGGGCUAUCAGAACUUCUAGCCGAACUGCAACAAGUGAAACACCAUUUUCCAUAACCUACGGAGCCGAGGCCAUGAGUCCGGUCGAGGUCGGGGUCCCAUCACAUCGAUGGAUACGCUUCAAUGAGAUCAGCAACGACGAGGCUCGAAUAAGCGAACUGCACCUCCUUGAGGAAAUGAGGGAUGCCUCCCAAGUGAACUUGACAAAGUAUCAUCGAAAGAUGACCCGAUACUAUAACUCCAAGGUCAGAAGCAGAACUCUUCGCCUAGGCGACCUCGUCCUCAAAAAGGUCUUCCAAUCUUCAAAACCAACUGGGUUAGUAGUGUUUGGCCCGAAUUGGGAGGGCCCUUACUGCAUCCGUAGGGAAUCCCGACCUUGUACUUUUGAAAUUGAAGACAUGGCAGGAAAGGCACUGCCUCAUCAAUGGAACAUCGAACACUUGAGGAAGUACUAUCAAUGAUGACCCUUUGUUCCGAUCCGAUCUCAAUAUGGUCUAAUGAAUCGAUUGUUCUGAUAUGGUCUCAGUUGUAAGUUCCCUAGCUUACUAAGCGCGGGAAUUGUCUUGGUAAAGUGUGGUGUAAUUUAUCUCAAGUAAUGAAACUUCGGUUCUGUGCCACAUCGGUUAGUAAAUAGUUUCCUCAGUCCUUUGAUAUGUUUACUUAAGUGAUCCGAUCUUCAAUUAUUAACUGAUUAACGUUAAGCGGCUCUUCAUGUUUGCUUAAGUGGUCCGCUUCAUAUUAACUUAAGUGGUCCGAUCUCAAAUUGUUAACCGAUUAACGUUAAGAGUCGCUUCAUGUUCGCUUAAGUGGUUCAACUUAUAUUAACUUGAGUGGUCCGAACCUCAAUUAUUAACUGGUUAUUGUUACGAGGCGCAUAGUCUCAUAUUUGUCAUUCAUAGAAGUAUAAACAGAUCCAAAAGGUAAAAAAAAAUUUUAAAAAAAAUGCAGAAGCACAAAUACUUAACAAAAAAUUUCAUUUCAUUUAAUGAAUUGAAGUAUAAGAAGGCCGAAGCCAUUACAAAAGAUGGCCCUAUUCUACUAGAGGGACUUCUGCAUCGGCCGCCUCCGAAGCUUCUUCAGCAAGCCUAUCAGGCCGAUCUCCAGUUAGUCCCCCGAACUCUGCCUCCGAUGAGGAGAUGUCCAAAGUGGGUAUACCUCUUUCAGUUGACCCAAUAAGCUUUGAGCACUCUAAGAGGCCCAAAAAUUGGUGAAGUCGUCAUACAGGGGAUGGUCUUCAAAGUGGUCAAUGAAGUUCAGAACUACUACCUCUCCUGCAGACUUCAACUCCUCCUUCAAAGAGGCAAUCUCCUCUGACUAAACCUCUGCCUUCUACCUCAGCUCUGCCUUCUCUUUAUUUGAGGCCUCCAGAGCCUCGGUGGCGAGCUUGUGGUGCUCGUUGGCGUGAUCAAGUCGCCGAGUCACAACAGCCACUUGGCACUCCACCUCGUAUAACUCCUUCUUCAACCGCUCCACUUCUGCUUUGGCAGUAGUUAGCUAGGCCUUGGCCUCCGUCUUUCCCUCCUCCGCCUGCUUUUCCUUGGCCUGGGCCUCUCACACGGCAUCCCUAUAGUGCAUCGCCUCCUCAAGGCGCUUGGCGAGGUCCUCCCUCUUGGAGUUCAGAUCCUUCACCAAACCCUCAAGUUGGAUGCUUGUACUCAAGGCCCGAGCCACGCAGGCGCUAUUUGCAGCCACCAAGUCCUCAGCUGUGCACGAGGCGGUGUGGUCCAUCCACUCCUCGAUCCAGUAUUUGCUGUAGACCACCGCCAGUGCAGCUAUUUCUGGAGGAAGGGCCUCCAACACUUCCCUCACUAGCUCCCCCGAAUUUGUGCCCAAAAGGUCGACCUCCUUAGAGGGACGGGGCAUCUUCCUCUUCUGCUACCCCGACACUUGAGCAAUUAGCACAGCAGCAAGUGGUGUUGUAGCCGGGGCAGUGGCAGCCUCAGAUGGAGCGGGCCUCUUCUCUGGAAUGGCCACCCCAGUUGGAAUUGUGGUUUGCUUCAGAACUGGGGGUGGCCUCGCCACAGUUGGGCGUUUUGGAGGGGCGGCGCUCUUCUUGCCCUUCUUCCGAAGGUCAGCCUCUGGGUCUUUCGGUACCUCCUCAUCCGUCGGAGGCUGAAGCCUCUUACUGACGUCCACCAAAUCCUCCAUUUGCUUUUUGUAAAAGGAAGAGGAGGCCUUCAAUGCACGUACCUCUACCAUCAUCCUCUGGAUGGUUUUAAAGUCGGGACGCACAGGCAUUUUCUUAUUAAAGUUGUAUGUAAAGAACGAAUUACGAAUUAGUACAAGUAUUAGGAGUUCGGAAUAAAGGAUAAAGACUUCGGUCCAGUUACCUUGGGAUGCUAUCAGGUCUUGGGUAACGAAGUGAAUGUUCUUUUGGAUCAGCCUAUAGUAAGACCUCUUCUUUUGAGGCAGCUGAUAGAUGAUGCAGAUGGUAUCGAAGUCCUCCAAUGACAGCUCGCACCGAGGAAGAGCACCUACAAAAGAAAUGCAAAUAUUAGGCACGAUUCGAACCGAAGAGAAAUAUAAAGAAAAACAACUACUAUAUUCACUAAGUGUUGAAUACUUCGUCGGGACCGUAAGAGGCGCCAGGGGGUCCCCCUCCAUCGUGUCUCAUCGCCCUGCGGCCCAGCACCACAAGCUCUUCCAUUCUUUGAUGGAGCUCGACAAAUCGAGCACGAAUGGAGUGUGGGAACCCCAUGAAGUAAGGUAGUACCACCCCCGGGUCUUAUCCUCCCGACAGUUACCUUAGGUAUGUAAAGAGUCUGGAAGACGGAGAGGAGCAUCUCCACCCCUAAUGACAUCUCUUUCCACAACAUCUAGGAGCCCACCAUUUGGCUCUAGGAAUUCGGAUUGAGUUACGUCGGGGCUAGCCCAUAGGAUCUAAGCACCAUCCUAAAUAAUGAGUGAAUUGGCAGCCUAAGUCCGGCCCUAAGGAUUGCCUCGCUAAUUGCCACAACCCGGCUUAGGGUAGCAGGCCCUCUCUUCGGGCCCGGGGAGGAUCCAAUCUAUGCUAUCAGGGAUCCUAUACUCUACCCUAAUCUCCUCAGGUCGGCCUCUCUUAAUUUAGAUGGGUAGUCCGAUGCCCCCCCAGUGCACAGAAGUAUCUGCUGGGCUAUCUGGUUGCUUCCAUAUAUUUUUCCUCUAUUAUCGCCUCGGCUAUUUCUGAGGAGGUCGCCACAAUGGGCUCGUCCAUCCUCACUAAUUCUAACCCCAUCCCCGAACCAAAACUCCCCUCAGAAGCUAUUUUUCAGAAGUUAAAAAUCCUAAAAGGUACUGAAACUUACGAGUUUGAAGGUUUUCCUGGCCGAAAAUGGUGUAAAGUUGCCGGAUGUUGGUUUUUCUCGCCGGAGGUUCAAGUUUCUCGUCGAAAUUACUUAGAAAACGCCGAAAAUCGCAAAUGACUUGAGAGCAAAGUAUAGUGUUUGUUUCGCAAGGGUAGAAAGCUUGAGAAAAGCUCAGAGUCCGCUUUUUAUAAAAAGACUCAUCCGAUCUCCACCAUUGAAUUCAAAUGCGAUCAAUCUAAGCCAUUCGUCGCAUCUUCAAUCUAGGCCGUUGAAAUGAAAUGCCAGAUUUGAUCUACGUCCAAGAUGUCGCUGUGACCUUCACGCUCGCUUAAAACGCCUCACAUCGGUCACCACCAGUCGUCAAUAAUAAGUAGCUGCAGCAGCCUUUUAGGAGAAUGGGCAUGUCACCCAACUGUCACCUUGAAAAUACGCAACAGUUGUCAAAUCAUUUAACGCCUGCAUCGCCUCAAAUGGAGCUCCUCACCCGACUUUACAAAGCUUAGAUGCACCCGACGCGAGAUCCCCUAUGGGUCAUCGCCUCGGUAACUGCGUUCUCUCCUAAACUUUACAAAGUUUUAGCCAUCUCCCAAUGCGUCGUCCCACGUGGGUCAGCGCACAGGUGGCAAAUGAGCUCUUCAACUUUACAAAGCUUAGACGCACCCGACGCGAGGUUCCCUGUGGGACAUUGCCUCGAUAGCUGCGUUCCCUCCUAAAUUUUAUGAAGUUUUAGUCAUCUCCCAACGCGUCGUCCCAUGCGGGUCGGCGCACAGGUGGCAGAUGAGCUCCUCAACUUUACAAAGUUUAGACGCACACGACGCGAGGUCUCCUAUGGGUCAUUGUCUCGGUAGCUGCGUUCCCUCCUAAGCUUUACAAAGUUCUAAUCAUCUCCCAAUGCGUCGCCCCAUGCGGGUCAACGCACCGGUGGCAGAUGAGUUCCUCACUCAACUUUGCAUAGCCUACACGCGCCUGACGCGAGUCCCCUGUGGGUCAUCGCCUCAGUCGUCGCGUUAUCCUCUUUUCCUACUAAUCAUGCUGUCUUGCAACGCUUCGACCUCACAUCGGUUAUUGAUUCCCUUAUGCAGUAACGAAACUUUGACGCAUCUGCGUAAGAGCAUGGCUUCGGUUACUGCAAAAGAUCGAUCCCCAAGCUCCCACGAGUCGCGGUCCCCAGUACCGAGACAUACACAUCCAGUCAGGAAAGCAAAUCCACCCAUUAUAUAAAUAUUUAUACCUGGACUUGGGGGACCACUAUUAUACCCCUAUUAUCUGAACCGCUUUGGAACGCCAACCACCACAUAUUCCGACCUAAUAGACGCCCAUCCGAAGUGUUUCCGAAGUGAUAUCACCUAUGUCAACAACCUAAUAGCACACUACGAGAUAUAGGCGAUCCUGCUGAACUGACCGAAGCUCCUCGCCUCCAAGGCCGAGGCCAAGUGGACCCCUGUCAGAAGAUCCGUCGCCAAUUUUAGAAAAAGAUUUGUGUCAAGAUCCUCUCUGCACCUAAGGUUUAAAUUGAUUUGACGUCUCCAUGAGGCUAGUUGAUGUGACUUAUCAACUUUAUGUCAAUUCAACUCAGGAAAGACAAGCUGCCCGCCCACUCUACAGACGCAGCUGAUUGACGCCUAUGAGCGGACGCCUCAUACCGUCAGAUGUAGAUACGUGUCCCACAUCUAACGGUCCAUCCCACAUAUAAAUACCCAAGGUUUGGCAAAAGGUAAAGGUAAUGAAACUCUUACUACAUAGCACUCCAUAACAAGUUUAUAUAUUUUCUCCUCCCCCUUAUUAGUAUUUUGCACAACCCCUGGGUACUGUUCCGACCACCUAAACCUGACUUGACCGUCGGAGUGUAUACGGUCGCCGCCACCCUCGUUGGUUCCGACCGUGUGCGUCUGACAGUGCGUUGAUUGUGCGCAGGAAAAAAUACGUGGAGUAGCUAUCGAUUGACCACGUAGAAGGUCCAAUUUUCGAGGUCAACACAUAUUUUCAAGGAAGACGGGUGGGUAUUUUUCUAAUCUUUUUAUCGGUUCAAGAACUACUUUUCCAUAACGCAAGUCCCUCUCAUUUGCACAACUUUCAAGCAAGUGUUUGUAUGAUUAAGGAGUAACGGGUAUAUUAAACGGUACAUUUCUUGAAGGAACUUAAGGCUUCUUUGAGUUUUCUCUGUUUGGAAAGGGAAAUUAAGUGGACAUUUUCAAGAUUCCAUUGCUGAGUUUGGGGUUUUCAGUGGAAAAUCUUUGGGUUUGCGGCUUAGGGAGACCCAUCAAGGAAUUUGGGCUUAAUUUGCAGUUUUUAUGUUCGAUAAUUGUCCGGAAGGAGUGAUGCUUGCGGGAAUGCUGCAUUGAGUAAUUGGAGAAUUGCCAUGAUUUAGUGCAUUUGAUGUUCGAGAGGUUUGAUAAAAGAACCCUAAUUGCAAUACAUGUAAAUUAUUGCACAGACCAGCCGAAUCUCAAACAGCCAAACCAUAAAUACUUUACCAAUUUACUAGCAUCUGAAUAUAUUCUUCUUUCUGCAGCUUGAGCUUACUUGUCAGUAAAAAAAAUGGUAGAAAGAUUUUUCUUCACAGGCAAAACCAAUUCUCAGCCACCGAUUCAACCAGACUCGGUCAUUCUUAUUUCUGGGCCGCCUUCCUCGUAAUAACAUAUCAUUUUUUUCCUGCUUUUACACACUGAUAGAAUCUCAAGCGCUCAGUUAUUUGCUUACUUUUUAUGCAGUGGCAAAACCUCACUGCUUUUCCAAUUCGCAUUCAACUCGGUACUAGAGAAAAAUGGAACCGUGGUGAUCAUCUGCAACCGGCGCAGAUUAGAAACCAAUCCCCCCUUUCUCUCUCAGGUACCCCUAAACCCACUUAUUCUCAAAGAUUUUAAUUUAUUAAUCAUUUAUUAUACAUAAUGGAUUUUUACUUUUCCUAUUGAGUUUGUUCCGAGACUGCAAUUUCAGGGCGUUGAUCCAUCUUCUGACAUAUUUCAGCACAUUCAGAUGAAGUAAGACAAAUAAUCAAACCUCAUACUGUAUCAAAUGCAGCAUUAAUCCAGCAAUUAGUUAAUUAGUCUUGCCAAGUCUGUUUAUUCUUGAGAUUUUUCUAGUUUGUACUUGAUUGUUGUUGAUGCAGUAUGUUUACCUUCUUGAAGGUAUGUGGAUGACGAUGAAGGGAUCAAGAAUUAUUUUGCUGCAUUUCACAUACACGAUAUAUUUCCUGUUUCAGUUAUCAUCGACAAUUUUGCAGAUUUCUUUGAUGGGAGGUGAGAUUUUCUCAAUCCAUUGUUUGACCGUAUUGGGGUGAUGUGGUUGUGAUAUAUGUACAUUUUUCUCACAUUGUAUGAUUCGAAGUGUUGUUUGUUUUAUUUCGAUUUUGUUGUUAAUUUCUCAUAAGGAAUUGUCAAGAGAGAUACAACAAUCCUCGGGGAAGAGACUUGGCAAUGACCCGGACAUUAGCUCUUUGUCAAAAUGCCAUUAAUCAUGCCAAGUGAGAAAAUUGUUACAGCCAGUGUUCAGUGCAGUACUCGAUUCUUCAUCAUUGUUGUUGACUGUAGUAUCACCAUUCGAUUAUUUGACUUCAAUCGUUCACAUUACAGAUCAAAGGGUCCUUGUAAUCUUUUAUUGUCCGAUACGCACCAAGGUGAUUCCCCAAGGUUGCUCUAUAUUUAUAAGAGAUGGAUCUCCUGCAUUUACACAAUCAGAGGUGAGAAUCAUGGUGAAAUUGCAGCAUAGCAAUUAUGAAUGGCUGCCCUUACUAGCUUAUGUCUCAUCAUCGAUUUUUUGCUGCAACUGUACUCUUCUCCUUAUCGUAAAUAUAACUUUUUUCUUCUUAUAUCUUCUCUUUUGAGUACAGAAGGUGAUGGUUCAGGAUCAUUUAUUCUCAAGAAUAACUCAGAUACUACAAGAGCAGAGAGGAUGAGAACUGCCAAGUAUUCCAUAGCACUUCAGUACUUGGUACUGGAGGGUGUUACAGAAGAUGAAGAACAAGAGUAAAUUUUCCAAUUAAUUACUCAUUUUUAAUUAGUGGUUCUGUUUAGAGUUUACGCUUUGUCUACGGCCUAAGUACUCUGUUUAUAUCGAUGGAGAAGCUCUAACUUUGCCAAUAUCUUUCUUGUUUCUAUUUGUUUGUUUCUUAAUUUAUCAUGGUAGCAGGGUAAAGGUAAGGGAUUAUAUGCUUGUAUUCUCAUUCAUGCUUCAAACUUAGUGCUUAAGUCCUGACUAAGAUUAGUUCAUAGGUUGUCCUAAAAAUUAUGAACUCCUUCAAUUACAAAAUGAACUUACUGGCAAACGCCUCUUUGAUAAUCUGAUAGCAGAAUUCUUCUCCAAGAUCAUUAUCAAAGGUAAAUUAUGUGAUUGCAAAAAUUAAAAUAAAUAAAUCAACGUUUCUUGAUACAUUUCAAUAUCACAAGCUUCUCCCCCCUCUUCUUUUAAGUGAGUUAUUCCUGAAAUUAUCGCUCUUUUGCUUUUGUAAACUACGAAAUUCUUUUUGAACUUUCAUUUUCACUUGCUGGCUUCUAAUUGUACCCUUAAGUAGCCAUCAAAAUCUUCUCUAAACAUUGCAAAAACAGCAACAAGCUCAAAAUCACAACUCUGCUCUUCUCGAGGAAAAACUAUCAAAUGCUUUAGUGGAUGGACGGAAUUUUCUCUAUUUUAUUGUAAUGCGGCUGUAAGGGCAUACAGCUUUUAAUAUUGUACACCAAACAAAGUUCUUUUCUAAAGGGUUAAACCAUUUGUACACCACAGUCCCUUCACAUGUUGAGGGGGGCCAACAUGAUUUAAAAAUUUGUGGGUCCAUUCAUUCUUAGGGGACUAUGUGGGCGUACAUGUUUUAAGGCUAUACACCAAACAAAGUUCUCUUUUAAAUACCCAUAAUUUCAGUACAAUAAAGCUACUUAGCCAAGCUUAAAAACAAGAGAGUGAAAAGACAAACUGAUAUGCUAGAGAAUGAUUGGGUAUUUUUGUUUUAAUUUUUCAAGUUGUUCAAUCAUGCAUUGACACGUGUCCCAUCUGAAUUUGAACCUGAAUGUGUAGUAUAAUUGAUUUCAGUAAACCAGAAAUUAAAAUAGAAAACAACAAAUUUAAAAGUAUUAAUUUGAAAGUUUAAAACUUAAAAUUAUUUAUUUUCCAACAAAGACAAACCCAUAAACAUGCAACCCCUCUAGGCUCUAAUUGUCAAAAUCAGCAUCUACAGCAAUAUGUUUGUACAAUAGUAAUAAACUUCGGAUAAUUGAUUGCAAAAUGACGCAACCCAAGGGAAAGUAUCAAUUUUAGUAUUUAUGCUUCCAGUUUCCGCGCUUGGGCUGCAUAUGCUUCAUGUAUUAUUUUAGCAUACCAGAAAUGAAAGAGUAAAUGAGAGAACGCCACAGUGGAAAGUCUAUAAGAUAUUUGCAUGUUCCCCACAAACGAUAUAGAACUUACGAAUUCAAAUGAAAAUUAGAAAGUUGGCAAGUUUCAUUCCAAUUGAGAUUAUUGUUUGCUAAUUAUAGGUUAAGCCCCUGUUGGUGCACAUUAUUUGAGAAAAUAAUACAUUUUUUCCAUCAAAUCAGUUUACAAUUUUUGACUUCAACACUCUAAGGUAGGACCCAUGAUGUGAUGUUUAAAAUGCAUUUUUGUUGGGAAAAUGUGGAACAAACGGGGUCUAAGUCUUCUCCUAGAAUUUAUGGGAGAGAGAGUCCGAAUGAACUUGAAUAAUUUCUUAAAUAUAACAAUUAACAAACUAUAUUGUGUUCUGAACUUUUUGUCAAGAAGCGUGUGAAACUUAUUACAAAAAUUCAUUGAAGAUGACCUUUUGAUUAGAAAAUGUAAAAGGAGGCCAUUCAGAAAGGCUUUUUUUUAAAGAUAUUCCUCGAGAGAGAAGCUGAUGCAAUCUCUAUGCAUCUAUAGGUAGAGUAGAUGCCCAACUAAAUAUAAUCGUUUACACUCCCCUCACAUGGAAGGGGCACACCCAUAAUAAAUUAUAUGCGAACCCCCUCAAUUUGAGAAGAGCGUAAAUGAUUAUAUAUACUAAAAGUGUACAAAUAGACUAAUCCAAAAAACUAUUGAAUUCAUAAGGGCAUAAGGUUCUCAAUGUUUGUUGGCUAUGUACAAUGACAAUCAUAAUUUUCAAACUUUUUCUACAUACUUCUUUUUAAACAUACAUUUACACAAUAAAAUAUUCUCCAUACAAAUUCAAAUUUUUUUCGUACUUUUUAAUCGCACAUUCUCUUAAAAAAUACUAUUCAAAACUUUGUUUUUCACAAUCAAUGAUUGUCAAACGGGGACAAAGUAUAUUGUCGACUGCGUAGCAUUGGGGGACAUUUUUUUUCCGAUGCCAUUCUUCUUUGUACGAGUGUACGACCAAUUGCUUUAUAGAUUCUUUUCUCAUCUGUUGCCUUGAUAAUCAUUCUGUAAUCAAUAUGGUACCCAUAGUAGCAAACACAAUAUAUUCAAAGAUUUGGGCUCUUUCUAAAAGAGAGAUUACCCGGAUUGGGAAUGCAUGGUCCUAAUUUAACUAUGUGUUUCGCGCGGGUUAGUCGCUAACAAUUAAAAAGGAUUAGACGAUUAUGUAAGGGACAAACCUCUUGAAACAAAGUCCCAAAAAGGGGUGUUCUUUUAUUGGCGAUGACUUUACAAUUGGAAAUUAAAAACAACGUGCCUCCAAGGGGUGCAAGCACACGAGUUACUGAAAGAAAAGUAUUUAAGUCUAAAAACUAAGGAAAUGAAAAUUACAUGUUCUCUGUUCGAGAGUUUUGGAUUCGGUCCCUUGCUUCUAUGUCCUUUCUCCCUUUUAUACUUCAUGGACGAUCUCUUUUUGAUCAACCGCCCUAAAAACUGCUUGAUCGUCCUAUAACUGCCCACUUUCUUCGUAAUGGUCAACUUGUCAUGAAAACUGCCUUUUUUAAUUGCUGCCAUUACUCUUCAUCGUUCAACCGCCUUCGGUUGAAUCCCUUGAAUCGUGGAACGUGAUAGGGCUGCUUUAAUAACUACUUUGAUAACUGCACUCUUUGAUAACCACGACGCUUUAUGUUUGUUAAGAUCUUGGGCGAUUUGAAGGUUUGGGCGAGAAUAGAGUAACAGUUCCGGGCGACUGUAUGACACUCUAUUCGCUCAGAUUCUGGGCGACUUGCAAACUUGGGCGAUGGCAUUAUCGCGUUCUUGGGCCUCCCUAUUUGGGCCUUCAUCUUGAUUUGUUCGAUUGGGCUUCCUUCUUUGGACUAUCUGAUUUGGGGAUCCUUCAAUUGGGCUUCAUUCCUUGUGCUAUUUGAUUUGGGCUGAAUUUUUAUGUGUCAACAAUUACCCCCCAAUAUGGCAGAAUUAAUAAUAAUUAUUAAAUUUUGCCAUAUUCACUUUGUGUUUCCAGCAACAUUCGAAAUUCUCAAGAAUUUCAAUCAUUGUUUUCUUCUAUAACUUGAAAAGGUGCGUCGUUUUGCAAACCCUUAUAAACCCCAAACACGCCAUUUCACUGCACCAUCAAACCACGCCUCAAAUUUUUUGCGUCUCUCUCAUGAUUCACUUUUCAUUUUUUGCUUCCCUGCUACAUAACCCUGAAAAGCUUCGUUCCUUCUCAAAUGGCUGCUUCACAAUCUCAAGCUAGCGAUUUCUUUAGUUUUGAUGACUUUCAGAGACUUCUGAGUCGCCCAUACAUAACCCCAAGUUUUCUCGAGCUCGUCGAUGUCGAACGUAAUGAGUUCUACUUGGGUCCUUUCUUCAACAAUGCAGAGGCAGUUGAACAGACGGCGGUGGGUCAGCUAUUUCCUUGCACUCAUGGCCCUCCUUUUCUAAACUCUCUAUCGCUGGGGCCAUUUCGUGAAAGAGGUAUUCGCACUUGGCCAAAAUCUGAUGUAGAUUUUCGUAGGUGGCAUACUCGCCUUGUGGGUCAUGGUCCUACUAAGGCACUUUUUGAUAGCGCUAGGAUUUCUGAUUUGUUAAAAAUCUCUAUUCGCUCCCCUACUUUUGAUUCAGCACUCUUUUCAAUUGUUUUGAGUUUUUGGUCUCCUGAGUAUAACACCUUUAUUUUCCCUCUAGGCCCCAUGUCCAUUACCUUAAGGGAUGUUGGAGCCCUGGUGAAUCUACCACCUUUGGGCGAUACCAUUUUUCCUGGUAUCUUAGUUUCUGCUGGCGCUCCAAAGUUUGGUAAAAACUACCCCGAUUCUUAUUCAAGCCUGCAAACUCUUCACAAUCAUUCGAGCGCUAAGCCUUCCCAUACUGAGCGAGUGGCCUUCCUUUUAGUUUGGCUUUAUAAAUAUAUUUUGUGUGUGCCAAGUAUAAAGUCUUCCCUAAGUUAUUUACCUAUAACGCACGAAUUGGCGCGUGGCAGGCCUUUGAAUUUAUGUUCUUUGUUUUUGGCUGCCCUUUAUAGAGGCAUGGCCUCUCUUCAAGCUCAAUUGAAGAAUGGUGCAUCUCCCACUGGUAGUGGACCUCUUUGGUUCACUCAACUGUGGUUGAGAUCCUAUUUUCCAUUGCUUGGUGCUCCAUCAGUCUCUCGCUCUUCUGCUAGCUGUUAUAGGCUAGCCAUGGAGCCCUUAGCUCCUGUAAAUAUGUCCAGAAAUGAUAUUUUUUCAUUCUUUUAUUCCUUGGAUUCAAUCCCUUCCUUUUUUCCUUUUCCUCCUUUUUUGACUCCAAACUAUAUACAUCCCCCUUCCACUAUAGAUGGCGCGAGCACCUCCCUGCUCAUUUGGAUCCAGUUUUUAACCGAGAAGGAGCUAUUUUAUGAUAUUCUAACUGGGACCAACGCCAAGGCAGGGGUAAAGAUUUAUGCUCUCCAAUUUUUUGCCCGUCAGCUUGGUUUCGGCCAAACUUGGCCUGUUCCUCCUUGCUAUUCAAGGAACUUAGUUGACCGUUUUUAUACUAUUAAUAAGGCGAAGGCAGAGGCUAUAGAUGCUCGUAAUCUUCUUUUAACCAGCCAUUUUUCAUUAGCCCCUUCCAAUUCUAGCCACGCCAUUCACCAUCUUUUUGAACAACUCUGGUCGCCGGUGAAGCGCAGAUUAUUUGCGACUGACGCCAAUCGUGUCUUUCAUUCAUUAGACCAACCGAGCAUUUCUUCUCCUCCUCCUGUUUUGGUCACUCCUUUGUCUGUUCGGAGUCCUUCUCCUUCUCGUCGCACUAAGCAGUCUGCUCAUCCAUCUUCUUCUCUCCCUACCAAGCCUAAUACGGCCAAGAGUACCCCAAGCCGCAAACGGCCAGCCUCAGCAUCUCCCAUUCUGGAGGAUGAUGUUGAUCAUGAUGAUGAUGCCCCUCUUAUCGUUAGGAGAAAGGUAACUAAAUUGGUUUACUCAAAAGUAUACUUCUCUACACUUGAAACUUUUCUGUGUGCUGAUGAUCUUUUGGACUUCUCAGAAAAAUUCAGCCUCUCCUUCUAAGGCUUUGGCACCGACAGCUCCUCAUCCAUCAUCUUCUGCUGAGGCUACUUCAUCCAAAGAGGUUGAUGAGGGGGCUACGCUUAAAGAGACAUCUUCAGUCCCGAAAUCUUCAUCACAACCCAUGGAUGAGCCACCUUCUUGCCAGAGCGUCAACCCCCCAAUCAUUGAAGCAGAAGGUAAUUCAGUCUUUUGAUGUCUUACCUUUGCUCGUGCUGUUGGCUUCUGAUUUGUUGCCCUUGAGUUUUGCAGAUACUCCUAUGAGUCCGCCCAUUGUGGUAACAUCUUCUCGUUCAGACAAGGGGAAGUCCUCACGAAUGGAGGAGUCGUUGGUGGCAAGCUUGGCUGAGGGCAUGCCAUCUUCUACGAUUGUUGAUGAGGUGAUCUUUGCUUCACUUCUAUUUCCAUCUUGUUCGUUGUAGUGAGGAUUUUUAAUAUUGGCAAUUUUCUUUACAGGAUGCUGACAACAUUGUGCGUUCUAUCCAAGACUUAUUCACUUCCUGGGGGCAAGUCUAGACGUCUCACCCUGCUUCAUCUGAUCAUCAUACUGCUUCUUCAGAGGAAGAUUUGAAGUUCCUUUAGGAGUUGAUACUUGAGUACGUAUCUUUCAUGGAUAUGGAUAUUGGAAGGGCUGGUGCUGCCAGACACAAGGAUGAACUUGAGCACUUGAGUGCGAAGUUGGAACAAGCACUGACGCUUCCGUCGUUCAAUCUUUCUGCCAAUUUUAAAGCGACGUUGAAGGUUAUCCAUUCCGAGGUCCUUUCUUUACUGGCCAAGAAUGCUGAGCUAAAGGCCAAACGUACUCAAUAUCUUCGAGCUGUAGCUGAGAAAGAGUCUUUGCGCAUGGAGAUUAACAAGGCUAAGGACGAGUUGAAAGAAAUCUCUUCCGAAGUCAUGGUUGAAGACUCUUUGAUGGUUAAUUUGGCUGCUCAGAUGAAAGAUCUUCAAGCCCAAAUGGACGACUGCAGGGCGAGAAUGGCUGCUAAAAAGCGCAACGCCUCCUAGGGAAUUGAGCGAACUAAGUCCUUGGUCGAACAGUACAAGAAGUUGGAAGUUGAUGACGAUGUCGCGGCUGAAUUGAACAUCACUUCCUCUCGGCAGAACGAGGAUUUGGAAAGACUUAGGGAACGAAUUCGUUCAGUAUGGGGUGGACUGUAAUUAAGACAUAUGAUGUCUUUUUUUUUCUUUCUUUUGUAAUUUGAUUUUUUCCUUUUGUAACUUUGUUCAUUAUCAAUGAACAUUAACUUCUUGUGCAUUUAUUUGACGUUUUAUUUUUUAGUCGUCAAUUCCUUAAGCAUUUAACUGCUUUGUGCUAAAAUCUUGUCCAUUUUCUUUUGAUAUUUCCACCACUUUUCCCAAGACUUUGGGCUAUUUAAUCCCGUUUAUUAGGCAGAAAUGUGGCUGUUCACAUUCUGUCUUUUCAUCUCCACCCCCUAUAAAUACUUCGCAUUUUCCAUCUUUCGUCUUCAUCUUCAUUUUCUUCUUCGAAACUAAUUUGUUGUCAUUGCUUGGCAUUCUGACACUCAAUCCGACCCAAAAUGGACUAUUUAGUCAGCCCAUUUUACUAUUUGCCUUGAUGUCACCUUUGCUAUGGGCGGUAUAGGAAAUAUUUUCUGGCCAGUAGCGAAAUUUUUACCUUCAAAAUUCUUCCCAUCGUCUCUUUGUUUUUCACAAGGAGUCGAUGAUGGAAGGCAAUUUUUGGACUGCUUGUGAGCCACUCUGCUUGUUGAGAGUGCUUCUCAACUUGCCUGCUGAGAGUGCUUCUCAGCCUUUUUGCUCGCCAUUGCAGCGAUGCAUUUAGGAAAGUGGUGAGGCCAGUACACCCUCUUACUCGGCGAUCCCACCAUUGCAGCGAUACAUUUAGGAAGGCGGUGUGAAGCUUACUCAGCAAUCAACCGGGAGAUUAUCUUACUUUAGUUGUAUUUUGUAACAUCAAUUAUUUGUAUUUUUUGUAUUCUUGUAAUGAACGUUUGAUAAUAAAGGACUUCAUUUGAACGUAUUUCGCUCUGACCUUGUUAUCUUUUAAUCGUUCAAAAUAUUUGAUUAUAUUUUUAUCUGUUCACAUUUCCAUAAAGAAGGAACAUAUUUUUUCAAAUAUUUGCCGUUAGUGAAUCUCACGUGCUUGGUGCCAUCUAAAUCUUCCAAGUGAUACGCUCCAUUGGGCAACACACUGUUUAUUUUGUAUGGUCCUUCCCAAUUAGGCGAUCACUUCCCGUACUUCGGAUCCUUGCUAUCCAAAAGAAGUAUCGUCUUCCAAACUAGUUCACCCAGGCUGAACGACUUGGCUAUGACUUUUUUAUUAUAAAACUUAGCCAUUCUUUGCUUUUGAACUUGCAAUCUAUCUAAGACAUCCAACUUUAAUUCGUCUAAACUCAAUAAAUUUUGAACUAGUGAUUUGGCAUACUCAUCAUCAUUCAAUUUAUGUUGCAAGCACACUCUAAUCGAUUGCACGUUGAUUUCCAUAGGCAAAACGGCCUCCUGUCCAUAAACAAGUUGGAAAGGAGUAACCUUGGUACUUGAUCGAGGUGAUGUCCUAUAAGCCCAUAAAGCCUUGUUCAGACAUUCGUGCCAAUUUCUGGCGUUUUCAUCUAUCAUCUUUCUGAUGAUAUUUUUUAGAAUCUUAUUAGAAGAUUCCACUUGUCCGUUGGAUUGAGCGUAGUAUGGUGUGAAGUUUACUAAUUUAACUUCAAACUCGCUCAAAAAUUUGUUCACUUGAUCCCCAUUCAAAGAUGUUCCGUGAUCUAUCAUUAACGUUUGUAGAAUUUCAAACCUAUAAAUAAUGUGAUCACGGAUAAACUCUAUAACAUUCUUCUGGGUGAUCUCUUUCAAAGGUACCGCCUCCACCCAUUUGGUGAAAUAGUCGGUUGCAACUAUAACAAAAGUAUGUUGCUUGGACGAUGGGGGAUAAAUUUUUCCUAUCAGAUCUAUCGCCCAACCCUUGAACGGCCAAGGUUUAAUAAUAGGUGCCAUCUCUCGUGCUGGCGCCCUUUGUAUUGGACCAUACUUUUGGCAUGCUAAACAACUCUUUGCAUACUGAACGCAUAGUUCUCCCAUCUUUGGCCAAAAAUAUCCACUCCUAAUAAUUAACCAUCUCAUCCUUUGGCCAGAUUGAUGAGCUCCACAUAUCCCUUCGUGCACUUCAGCCAUGAUCGUCUUGGCUUCUUGCAAACUUACACACUUUAGUAAUAUACCAUCAGAGCGUUUCUUAAACAACGCUUCAUCUAUUAGUGUGUAAUUCAGCAAACAUAGCUUCAUUUUCCUACUAAUCCCUCCAUUAGGUUCUUUAAGGAACCUUUUAAUCUCUAUUCUCCAAUCCACUGUAUCUCCAUCUUGUAUGCAGUGAAGUUCAAUUUUUCUCGCCCUUCUUUGAGUCAUGGGCAAUAUGAUUUCAUACUCACAAGUAGACUUCCAAUUCAAGACCUUUGAGUACCUUGAGGCCAUUUGGGCUAGCUCAUUUGCCACGUCGUUAUAUAUCCUAUUAACGCAUUGAAGUUCUACUUGAUCGAAUUCCUCUAAUAAUUCUUAGGCGAUAUCAUAUUGACUUAUAAUGGAAUCACUUUGGCAUUUAAAAUCACCGAUCAAUUGAUGUAUCACCAAUUGAGAAUCGCCCCUAACGAUCACAUUUCUUACUCUCAUAUCUAUCAUUAGUUCUAGGCCUACAAUUAAGGCUUCAUAUUCAGUCUGAUUGUUGGUGCACAUUCUGUCUAAGGUGAAUGCAAACUUGUAGCAAAUCCCUAAAAGAUUAAUCAAUGCUACUCCUACUCCUGCACCUUUAGAAGUUUUUGACCCAUCGAAAUACAACACCUAAGGUUUUAACUCGAACGAAUUGAUUUCUAGUUCGAUUUCUUCAGGCAUGUCAAGGCAUGGAUGAUCGGCUAGAAAAUUAGCCAAAGCCUGAUUUUUGACUGCCUUUUGAGGUAUAUAUUGUAUUUCGAAUUCUGAUAAAACUAGUGUCCAAAGGCCUACCCUUUGGUGUAAAAUAGGGCGCGAGAACAUAUACUUAAUUAAAUUUACUUUAGAAAUUAAAUAAACGAUUACGGGCCGUAAAUAAGCCCUUAAUUUUGUACAUGUAAAAUACAAUGCAAGGCAUAAUUUUUCAAUAGCAGAGUAAUUACAUUCACAUUUCGUUAACCGUCUACUUAAGUAAUAAAUUGCCUUUUCUUCACCAAAUUGAUCUUCUUGUGCGACCAUUCCAGCUAUUGAUUCUUUUUCAACCGAUACAUACACUUUCAUUGGCCGUCCUUGGAUUGAUGACACCAACACUGGUGGACUUGAUAGAUAUGUUUUCAGGCUUUUAAAAGCCUUUUGAUGUUCUUCUUUCCAGACGAAUUCAUCCUGAUUUUUCAGCUUUAAUAGCGGCGAAAAGACUUUAGCUCGCCCUGCACAGUUAGAAAUAAAGCGUCUUAAAAAAUUUACUUGGCCUAGAAACCUUUGCAACUCCUUUUUGUUGCUAGGUGGUUUGGCUUCUAAAAUAGCCUUCGCUUUAUUUUUAUCAAGUUUAAUCCUUCUCUUGUGUACUAAGAAACCAAGAAAGUUCCCUGCAUUAACACCAAAUGCACACUUUAAGGGAUUCAACUUUAGCUUAUAUUGCUUCAUUCGUUCAAACGAACAUCUUAACUGUACGAAAUGGUCCUCUUCUUUAAUGGACUUGACUACUAUGUUGUCUACAUACACCUCAACAAACUUGCCUAUCAUAUCAUGAAAGAUUAAAUUCAUUGCCCUUUGAUAAGUUGCCCCUGCAUUUUUUAGGCCGAAAGGCAUAACCACCCAUUCAAAACAUCCUAGAGACUCAGGGCAUCUAAAUUCCUAAAGUCUAUACACACCCUUAGUUUACCAUUCUUUUUUAGUACUGGCACGACAUUGGACAACCGUUCGACAUAACUGGCUGUUCUAAUGAAACCUGUUUUCAAUAAUCGCUCUAUCUCUUUCUUGAUUUUAGGGAGUACAUUGGGAGCAAAUGUUGGGCUGUUUGAUUUGGACUGAAUUUUUAUGUGUUAACACUAUGAAACAAGGUUUACUAGAAGACAAACAAAUGAAGUCUUGAGGGAAUCCUUUCUGGAAGAGCUUGCUAGAACUGGUAUCAACACUCAGACAGAAUGACUUUUCAUGCUCCCAAAAGCACAGCAUCACCAGUCCACUCACUGUUAAUGACAUCUCACAACGAUAAACUUAAUUAGACCUUUGCAACUUAUCAAGGAACCAAUGGGGAUACCAAUGUCAAGCAGAAAUAACUAUUAUUAUUUUUCUUCAAUUUGUGCUUCAAUGCUAGUAAUACAUAUAAUCAUCGUUUCUGCUGAGCACAGCAGAUAGAAGCCACAUGGCAUGUUUUACCAGAAGAAAUUAAGAACAAAAGCCUUGGGAGUAAUGGGGAUUCCAUACUAAUUCGAACUGCCCUUUCCUCAACACUAGUUUAUGAGCUUUUUAUGCAUUAGAAGAAAAAAAAAUCUCUCCACAAAAGACACUGUGGUGGUGAGUGAUUUUUGGUGCACAGAACAAACAGAUCUGCUUGACGUUGAUGUAAAAAAGAAAGAAACUUGGUGAUUCCAGAUAAAAGAUGUCUACAAAAAUAAUGAAAAACUAAACCCACACCAUCAAUAGGUUAAAGCAAAUUAGUAAAGAUCUCUCCUUCAUAAAUCUUUGAUUGAAACAUUCUUCUGUAGGAUUCUAAUUGAUCACAUCAGCUCGUUCUCAUCAGCAUUACUUGUUCACAACUGGAAAAAUCAAGAAACUAAAAAAUGAGAAAUCAAAUCUGUCAAAGUACCUUCAGCUUAUCAUAUAUUUUGCAUGAACCAACUCCAUCCAAAUUGAUGACACAAACAUCUCCCUGGCAAGGGAGUUGCCACCAAAGUAUAUUUGAUUUCCAUGACGUCUGAAGAAUGUUCGGAACCAAAAUCCUUCAUUCGGAAACUGUUCAAUUGAGUGAGCAUAGACACAAGUUCAUCAUUUGAAGUGCGAUCUGCAGGCAAGUCAGAUAGGCAUACAACAGCAAUUCUAACAGCCCUUAACAUUUCAUCUUCUUCAAGUUCUUCCCCAAGGAUACUCUUAACUAGUGCUACAGACGCCUCCCCUGCUUGCUGCAAAUUAGGGCUGGGCAAAUCUCCCGAACCGAACCGACCGAACUCGAGCCCGAACCGAACUGAACCAAACCCGAUGGUUCUUGUCAAAUUAAAUACUCGAACGGGUAUCUGAAUUGAGAACCGACGGGUACAAUUCGAUUUUUGGUUCUGGACCAAGAACCGAAAAAUUGAAUAAGAACCGAAUCUUUCUAAUUUUUUUUUUAUAUUAGAUAAAUCAAACUAUUUUAAUUUUAAUUUUAAUUUUUUCUAAACAAAUUAACAAUUUCUAAAUCCAAAUUUUUGGUCCAAUAAUUUGUUUCAUUUUCUAAUUUUUUAAUUUUUGGCCCAAUUACCCAUUUUAUUGUUUCAUUUCUUAACCCAACAAGAUCUAACUCAUUAAAUAAUCAUAAACACUUACACUAAAGUGCAUAACGCUGUCUCGACUCUCACACUCACUCUUGCAGCCUCGCUGAUAUUCCAAAACUUAUACAAUCGUCGGCCGACGUUGUGACUUCCGAUCGAAACUGUGACCUCCGACAUCGAAACUUUGACCGUAGUGAUCAUUUGAACAAGGUAGUCUACUAGUCUCUAACAUUUCAAAAUCAUUGAAUGUGUCAUUAGUUGUAUUUAUAUAAUGUUGUUAUAAAUGUUAAAAAAUUUAAUUAUAGUACAUAACCGAAUGGAACCGAACCAACCCAACCCGAAUGGUUCCAUAAUUAUAUUUGGACCCAACGGUUCCAUUUACUAGAUACCCGAAAAUUUUGGUUCGAUUCGGUUCUAGACCCGCGCCCACCUCUACUGCAGACAACCGAGCCAUUGUUCCAAACUUCCUCCACUAUUUGCUGUUGGAAAUUUAUUGUUCAAAAUCAAAGAAAAAAAAUGGGGGAGGCUUAACCAUGCGACCACAUGGAUUAAGCCCAUGCGGUCGCAUGAGGCCCUCCCGAGAAUGGGAGGGUGGCAAUGCUAUAACCAUGCGACCGCGUGGCUAUAGUCCAUGCGGUGCAUGGUUAUCAAAAACUAACCGUUAAAUAAGUAAUCAAGGCCUAUAAAUAAGUAAUCCAAGUGCAAGAAAGAUAUAUUGAGUUCUAUUAAAAUUUAUCCCUAAAUAUACUUCCAAUAUUGAGAAAAUUUAUCACAUAAUUCUUCCAUUUUCACUUGUUCAUUGUGAAGAAACACCUUUGCUUUUUGGUGUUCUUCUUGUUAAGGCUUGUUUAAUCUUACAAACUAUUUGCCGAAAAUCCUUAAAAAGCAUUAGAAAGGAGGCAAAUAACGUUUGAGGACAACGACAAUAAUUUCGUGUUCAAGCCUUCAUUGAUAUACUUUUAUAAUUUUCUUCUCCAUUGCUAUUAUUUUCAACAAUCUCAAACGGUAACUUGUUACCAUUAUUGCAAUGGAGAUGGAAUCUACAAUUGCUACUAUCAAAAUGAUGAAUCAAGACCUGGUACGCUUGGACAGAUUUGAUGGUGCAAAUUUCACAGGAUGACAAGACAAACUUAAAUUUCUGUUAAAGGCCUUGAAGAUCUUCUAUGUGCUUGAUCAAAAAUUAGAGCCCAUUCUCGAUGCAACUGACAAGGAUACUGAAGAAAUUCGCGUGGAAAGGAAGAAACGGGAAGAGGACGAAUUGAUAUGUCAUGGCCAUUUCCUAAAUGCAUUAUCCGAUCGCCUCUAUGAUCUCUACACCAACACUACGUUGGCAAAAGAAAUCUGGUAUGCGUUAGAAAGCAAAUACAAAGUCGAAGAGGAAGGUACCAAAAAGUUCUUAAUAUCUAAAUACUUUAAUUUCAAAUUUUUGGAUAAUAUACCAUUAUUGCGUCAAGUACAUGAGUUACAAAAAAUUGUAAACAAACUGAAAGCGGUGAAAAUUGAACUUUUCAAAACUUUCCAAGUGGGAGCAAUUAUUGCUAAACUUCCUGAUUCUUGGAAAUGAUAUAGGAAAAAGAUUUUUCACAAUUCCAAAGAUUUUUUUUUGGAAGAUAUACAAAAAUAUCUUCGUAUUGCGGAAGAAUCAAGGACAAGAGAUAAGAUUGAAAAUUCUUAUGAUGACUCUUCAAAGGCCAAUGUCGUGGACAAUGUGGACAACUCCAACAAAUUUAAAAAGAAAGGAAAAUUUCUUGGUCCUAGAAAGAAUCAAGGUGUAACGAGCCAAAAUUUAAAGGCUUGAAUCGUUACCAAAUUUUCAUUUAAUUUUUUUUUAAUUAUUAUUUUGAAAAAUGUGGCAUGCCAUAUAAUAUAAAAAUUAUGAAAGGGUAAUUUCUCAAAUUUAUAGAAAAAUAAAUAUAUAUUAAUUGUUAGAAAGAAUAUUUUUCUAUGCCAUAUCUUUCACGUGUACACUAGGAAAAAGCGCACAUAAAAAUUAGUUUGCAAUUAGACAAAUAUGCUUUCUACGCUUGUGGAAUAAUUACCAUUGAUUUUGUACGGACCCAUAUACAUUUGCAGUAAUGAAUUCUAGGUUAAUCACAAUUCCAAUUCAAGCAUAAUAUUCUUCUCUUUCUUCAAUGUGUGGACACGGCCCCAAAUGGUGAAAAUACUACCAAAUUUGUCUUAUUUUAUUAAAGAAAUUCCCACCCUACAUCACUAGGCUAUGGGGCAUGCUAUCAACAUUUAUUAUUUUAACAGUAAGUACAAAUUGAUGGAUAAAAUAAUAUUUAAUUUCAACUUUAUCUAAAGUAAAAUAACAUUUACACGUAAACUGGACUAUUUAAUGCUCCUUCAAGCAGUGACACAAAGAUAAUAUUCUGUAUCAAUAUUCUCAAUUUUUCUUCAUGAAACCACGGAGAUUAAAAUAAUAUAACACACUAAGGAAAUCGAAGGAUUUUAUUUUGAACUUUUAAAUAAAAGCACAAUUUAAAAUAAAUAACCAUAUAAUAAAUAAGCAUAAACAAUAAUUUAGUUGUGAAUAAAUGUUUACGGCAAAGAAAUAAAGUUACGUGCCAAAUUCUUUAAUUUCUUGUCAAGCGAGACGAGACACAACCACACCAUCGAACUACCACGCUCCGACAGGACCCGAUCUAACCUGUGAGGUGUAGGGAAAAGGGUGACUACAAGGGAAUACUCAGUAGGAUAUCAGAUUCAAUAGUGCGAUACCGAAUAAUAAUUUUAAAAACAUGUGUCAGAAUAUCAUACCGUCGCAUAUCUUUAAAAAUCCGGUAAGAGCUCAUAUCAUAUCAUUUCAUUGUACCCGAAUGAUCAUAUCAUUCAUAUCAUAAUAUUCCAUAUCAUGAGUACAAAAAUUCAUCAACGUGAAAAAAAAAAACAAAAAAUUUAAACGGGACAUAUAAACACUGCACCUCAUAUCCUACCUUGUUAAACUGCUUUAAAUUUUUGGAAGACAAAGAAUCACGUUCCCUUCUUUCCUUUUCCUCUUUCUGCCUCUUAUGUUACUGUGAGUCGUGCACAAACAUAUAUAUAUAUAUAUAUAUAUAUAUUUCCUCGUGUGAUUUAUUUAUCUACAUAGGUACUAAUACCCUAACCACUAAGGUGUGAUGUGGGAAAACGUGUGAGAGAUAGUGGGUAAUUGGAUGAAGUUGGGGAAACCGUAUUUGAAACAAAAUGUUUGACUAGAUUUUGCCAACCAACUAUACCACUCAACAAAUACAUUCCUUCCAUGUGGCACCUUUUAAAACAAAUUAAUAGGAAAAGAUCAAAACUGCUCUCUCUCUCUCUCUCACGUAUCUUCCCUUAUCUUCUCUCUCUCUCUUUUUUUUUUUCUUUUUUCGUUUUUUUUAUUAUUAUUUUAAACCUUAUUUAAUAAACAAAACAAUGCCUACCAGAAAUCUAGCACGUUACCCAUGAAAUUUCUAAAUUCAUUACAUAUUCAAUUAAAAUAAUAUUACUAAUAAUAAUAUUUAAUUCUAUAUCUUUCGACCUCGAUAACUUAGGUUUCGGUAAUCCAAAUUAACUUUUUCUCGAACCUAAUAUGCAUCUUUAAUUACGAUCUAUCCAACGAGCUCAAUAUUCAUAUACUUAUUAUCACUCCGUCAAUAUCUACAUUUUAAUCCAAAUUAAAUUAAAAUUUACUUUAUAUGCACUUUAGUCCCUAAACUUUCAAAACAUUAAAAUAUAGCAUACAAAAAUUAAAUUCCAUUCUACCAAAAUUUUCAGGACAUUACACAAGGAAAGUUCAAAAACAAAGCCAAAUGACCUUACUAAGUUUAUGGAAAAUCGGGACACUAUGUCAAAGAUUGUAGACAUAGAAAACAUGAUAUUAUCGCCACAGUGAGCGAAAUCAAUUCAAUCUAAGGCAAAAUUCCAGGCUAGUGGUACGAUACAUGCGCUACAAUCCAUGUAUGUUAUGACAAGUCUCUUUUCAAAACUUAUCAUAACAUUAAAGACAAUCAAGAAAUACAAAUGGGAAAUGAAGGAAGAUCAAAAGUGAUUGGCAAAGGAAAUGUGGAACUCAUUUUCUCUUCGGGAAAGAAGAUCACUUUAACAAAUGUCUUGCAUGUACCGAAAAUGAAUAGAAACUUAGCAAGUACUGUACUCUUGGAAAAACCCGGAAUUAAAUCUAUUUUUGAAUCUGAAAAGCUUGUAUUAACCCAUAAUGGGCCCUUUGUUGGAAAGGGCUACUCCACCGAAGGAAUGGUCAAACUAUGUACUAUUGAAGAUAAUUCAAAUAAAGUUAAAUCUUUUGCGUAUAUUUAAAUGUGGAUUAAUACAAUAUGAUAUUGACAACUUUGAAAAAUGUGAAAAAUGUGUUAAAUAAAAAAUGAUUAAGAAGUCAUUUCAUAGCUUAGUAAGAACAACAAGAUUACUUGAACUUGUUCAUUCCGACAUAUGUGAAUUGAAUGGAUUGUUAACUAGAGGCGGUAAUAGAUAUUUUAUUACUUUUAUUGAUGAUUGUUCUAGAUAUGCUUAUGUGUACUUAUUAAAACAUAAGGAUCCUUUAGUGCCUUUAAGACUUAUAAGAUUGAAGUUGAAAAUCAAUUAGGAAGAAAAUUAAAGACUUUAAGAAGUGAUAGAGGUGAAGAAUAUUUUUCUAAUGAAUUUAACAUGUUUUGUGAACAAAAUGAAAUAAUACAUCAAGCUUCUGCACCUAGAAGAUCGGAAGAAAAUGGAUUAGCAGAAAGAAAAAAAUAGAACUCUUUUGGAAAUGAUAAAUGUAAUAUUGUUAAAUUCUGAAUUACCCUUUAAUCUAUGGGGUGAAGCCUUACUUAGUGCUUGCCAUAUAACAAAUAGGAUUCCUAUGAAAAAGAAUAAAAUUUCUCCAUAUGAAAUUUGGAAAAAUAGAAAAUCAAAUAUUAGUUAUUUUAAAGUGUGGUGGUGCCUUGCCUAUUGUAAGAAUAUAGAUCCUAAGAGAAUCAAGUUAGGUCCUAGAAGUAUCAAAUGUGCUUUUGUGGGAUAUGCCCUUAAUAGCAAAGCCUAUAGAUUAUUAAAUCUAGAAACAAAUGUUAUAAUAGAAUCAAGAGAUGUGAAAUUUUCGAGAAUAUAAUGGUGGCUAGGAAAUCUGAAAAUAAUAAUAAAGAUAUUUCAAUUUUUAGAAGCUCACCAGAAGAAACAUCCAUAAAAGAUGUUGAAAUUGAACCUCGAAGAAGUAAAAGAACUAGAAAAGAAAAGAACUUAGGAUCAGAUGAAAUAGAUCCCCAACUUAUUUCUUUUUACUUAGUAGAAGGAGAUAGGAAGGAUGUUGUAAGAACAAUUCCCUUUGUUCUUCAAGUGGAAAGUGAUCCUAAAACUUAUAAGGAAGCGGUGUAAUCUAGAGAUUGCAUGUUCUGGAAAGAAGCCAUAAACAACGAAAUGAAUUUUAUUAUUUCAAAUAACACUUGGGAAAUAGUUGACUUGCCAACAGGAUCUAAGACUAUUGGUUGCAAGUGGGUGUUUAGGAAGAUAUACAAUUCCGAUGGAUCUUUUAAUACCUACAAGGCUAGAUUAGUGGCUAAAGGGUAUCGUCAAAAAGAAGGAAUUGAUUACUUUGACACAUAUGCACCCGUAGCAAGGAUAACCUCGAUCAGGAUCUUAUUUGCAUUAGCAUCCAUUUAUCAUCAAAUGGACGUCAAGACGGCAUUCCUAAAUGGAGAUCUCGAAGAAGAGGUCAAUAUGGAACAACCAGAAGGUUCGUUCUACCGAAAAAUGAACAUAAAGUGUGCAAAUUAAUUAAAUCCUUAUAUUGACUAAAGUAAGCUCCCCAAAAGUGGCAUGAGAAAUUUGACUCUAAAAUAAUGUCAAAUGGAUUUAAUCACAAUUCGGUAGAUAAAUGCCUCUACACGAAAGUGAAUGAAAAUAUAUUCACGUUAGUAUGUCUAUAUGUUGAUGAUAUGCUAAUCAUUAGCAAUAAUAUAGACGGGAUCAAAGAAACAAAAUUGUUUCUAUCCUCUACUUUCAAAAUGAAGGAUCUUGAAAAAGUUGAUACUAUCCUUGGUAUCAAAGUUAAAAAGGAUAGUGGGGAUUUUACAUUAAGUCAAUCACACUAUGUUGAGAGUGUGAUAAAUAAAUUCAAACAUUUGAAUAUUAAGGAGCCUAACACUCCCAUAGAUCCAAAUAUUAAAUUAAUAAAAAAUGAAGUUAGAGCAAUUGCACAAAUAGAAUACGUAAGUGCAAUUGGAAGUCUUAUGUACGCAUCACAAUGUACAAGACCUGAUGUAGCAUUUGCUGUAUGUAAACUAAGUAGGUUUACUAGCAAUCCAAGUUCAGAACAUUGGAAGACCAUCGGUAGGGUUCUUGGUUACCUAAAGAAAACCAAAAAUCUUGAGCUACAAUAUACAAAAUUUCCUAAAAUCUUAGAAGAAUAUACUGAUACAAGUUGAAUAUCGAGUGCAGGAGAGAAUAAAUCUACUUCAAGUUGAAUAUUCACUCUUGGAGGAGGUACAGUUUCUUGAAAAUCUAAGAAAUAAACUUGUAUUACUCAUUCAACUAUGGAAUCAAAGUUUGUAGCAUUAGCCGAAACCGGGAAAGAAGCUGAGUGGCUAAGAGAUUUAUUAUAUGAAAUACCUUUAGAUAUAAAGGAUAUUUCUUCUAUACCUAUCUUGUGUGAUAGUCAAGCCACUCUAGCUCGAGCAUAUAACAAAAUAUAUAAUGGAAAGUCUAGACACAUGAGUCUAAGACACGAGUAUGUAAGGAAAUUAAUCAAACAUGGAAUAAUUUCUCUUACAUUUGUUAAGUCUAGUGAAAACUUAGCAAAUCCAUUUACGAAACCUCUCACAAAAGAGUUAGUGAGAUCAACAUUAAGUAAAAUGGGAUUAAAACUCCUCAAAUAGAUCCACCAAUAACUGCAACCUCACCAAAAUAUACUAAACUAGUAUAUAUAUAGGUUCAAGAGGUAGCAACAAGUUAUUCGAUAAAUGAAUAGAUUCAACACUAUUAAUAAAUAUCUAAUACUAUCUUUGAAAAAUAGUGUUGGUUGUUACUGUUAGAAGGAUGAGUUAAAAUAAACUCUUAAUGAAGUUUAGUACGAAAUACAAGUAUACGUAAAAGUAACAAAGAUACUAUAAGAACUUCACCUAUGUGAACUUCGAGGUGGUGCCGCUUCAUUAAAGAGUUGGAGUUUUCUCUCUUUAAAAGUUCAAUGAAAUAGGAUUAAUGCAAGGCCAUAUUAAUACUAAGCGAGUUAGAAGAACCAAUGAAAAUCAUAACACUUGUGUGUGUGAUUUCAUCGAUAUUGUCACAAAGAAUAAUUGGUUCAAGACACACUAGCCACUUGAAAUUCUGAUAAUACUUUAUGAGAUUUACACUAUGAAUAGAUUCAAUUCAAAAGAUAUCUAAUUCUUGUGCAUAAGUGUUGAUAUUUGAUUAUGUGAUUAAAAUAGAUUUUGAACAAGUGGGGGAUUAUUGGAAAUUUAUUGUUCAAAAAAAAGGGGGGCGGUCGCAUGAGGCCCUCCCGAGACUGGGAGGGUAGCAAUGCUAUAACCAUGCGACCGCAUGGGUAUAGCCCAUGCAAUCACAUGGUUAUCAAAACUAACCGCUAGAUUAGUUUUUUUUAUCGUUUUUUAUUUGAAAUUGGUGGCUUUUAAUCCUUGUUUUGCACCACUUCGUGAAAAACUUGCCAAGGCCUAUAAAUAGGUGAUCCAAGUGCAAGAAAUAUAUAUUGAGUUCCAUUAAAAUUUAUCCCCAAAUAUACUUCCAAUAUUGAAAAAAUUUAUUACAUAAUUCUUCCAUUUUCACUUGUUCAUUGUGAAGAAACACCUUUGCUUUUUGGUGUUCUUCUUAUCAAGGCUUGUUUAAUCUUACAAACUAUUUGCCGGAAAUCCUUAAAAAGCAUUGGAAAGGAGGCAAGUAACAUAUAAGGAAAGCGAGAUUAAUUUCGUGUUCAAGCCUUCAUUGAUAUACUUUUAUAAUUUUCUUCUCCAUUGCCAUUAUUUUCAACAUUUGCUUCCCCAGAAAAAGGAUCUAAUGGGUCUUUACUGGUUAAUAGAACACCCAAGAUUACCCCAAAGCUAAACACAUCACUCUUAUCUGUAUACCUAGUGCAAAUUAUAAUAAAGAUAAAUAAAUUUUCAGAAAUAAAAUAAAAGACUACAGUGAAAAUGCCCUAUCUUUUCUCCUCCAAUGCAAGGAUACAAAUGCCUUAUCUUCGAGAAUCAAGAUGAAAUUAAUUUUUAUCUAUGUGAUGCCUUCUAUUUUAACUUUUCUUUAGUGCUUAAAGCACUCUUAGUUUCCAGUAGAGUACAAUAAUUUUAAUUGAUACAGAGAAGCAAAAAAAAAUUGCCUCUCAUCUAGCUUUUUAUAAAGAUCAUGCUAUCAAUUAAGAUUCCUCUGUAUAUAUUGACAGGUCAAGAUAAUAAUUGUUGAAGAAGUGCAGAUAAUGAAAACUGAUGGGAGACUAGCAGAAAAACCAAUUAUCGAUUUGAAUUCGGUUUUUUUUUUUUUCUUUUAACUUAUAAAGUAACCAUCACCUCUAAUCAAGCUAGAUAAACCAAGUGCAUCAAAGGCCAUAAUAGAACCCAACAACUGAAACUAACAAACAUGAAUAUGCUAAACGAAUGAUGAUGAACAAUUGUUCUAAAUUUCAGACUAAACUAUUAACCUAUAAUGUACAUUAAAGUAGAACAAACCAAUUGUCGUAGUUAUAUCUAAAUUUCAAUACCCGUCAUUCUGAGAGCACUCUGGAGCACUGUAGCCUGAAGCAGCUCUAAAAACAUUGGGAAUAAUCAUAGCCAAGCCAUAAUCUGCUAACCUUGGUUCAAAUCGUGAGUCCAACAUCACAUUUGAGGGCUUCAAGUUGCAAUGCAAUCUUCUUGGAUCACAAGUGAAAUGAAGAUACUGCAGCUCCUAAACUAUCCAACUGCAAUUCGACACGUAAUUCCCAAUUAAAUUGGAAUUGAUUUUCCCUUACUCUUCUCAUUACAUCUUCAAGACUAUCAGUUGGGGCAUAAUCAGUAAUCAAAUAAUACCUGCGGGAUUGAUGAAUAUAAGCCCUCAAACUCAUCAAAUUCCUAUGCCUUAAGCUAGCAAGAAUUUCGAGCUCCUGCUGUAUCGUUUUCUCGACUGACUGACUCUGAGCUUCAAUAGAAACAUUCUCAAACGGCUCGAGCUGCUUGACUGCAACAAUGAGGCCAUUGUCCAGUACAGUCUUGUUGUACUUCCCAUUGGGACUUGAUCCUAGCAACUGGGUUUCAUUUGCAAGAGCUGAUUGUAAAGUCUCGGCAGGAAUUUUGGGAGAAAACACAACAGGGCCUUUAAGAUUUGGGCUCCUGUUAAUGCAUCUGAUAAAGCACCUUAUUAGAAAUGCAGCGAAAACCGCAAAAAAUCAAUCCUGCUAUGACUCCAAACAAAAUGCUCAGAGAAAUUCUCCUAAGCCUAUUCUUGAAUUCUGGAGGCUCAGAUUGUCAUGGAGGGUCACUGUGGAGGGAGACAUUCUUGCUGAUCUUUUCUAAGCAUUGCACAGAGAUAAUGUUGAAGCAGAAAAUAAGUAACAAGACUUGCUUUAGGGCUUUACUGCUACUCGUCUUGUAAAAGUGCCUCUUCUUCUCCAUAGAAAGCAGAAUCCUUGAUGUCGAGCGUAACCUCAAAUUACUCAAAAUUUUAACAUCCAGAUGAAGAGUAAAUUUCUUGAGCUGAAAAAGGCCAACCUUUAAGCUCCAAAUAAGGCUUGAAAUUACACGAAUUGAGGUUGAGAAUGAAAAUCAUAUAAUGGCGUCGGAAAAUCUUCAAGAGGAAGAGAAGUGGAAUCAUUUCUGUAUCACACAUUCUAACGUUUCCACAAGAAUAUCACCUCAAAUCUUCACCAUUUAUCUCCGAAAUAUUUGCCCCUUCGAAUCGAGAGUAGAAAUAAAGAAAAGAAGGAAAAAUGUAGAACCCCACCAAAUCCAAAUUGAAAAUUCCAAAGAUCCGUUCAAAUACGCAUAAACCAGCGGCCCCGAUAACUCUUGUUUCUCACAAAGGUAAUUAGGAUGCCACGUUCUUUUUUCUUUCAAUGUUACUGUAUAAAAAGUUAUUAUCUUCUAUUUUUUAAUAUUUUUAUCCUUACUUAACCAUUGAUUGUGCAGAUAGUCCUUCCGUCCAUUCAACCCAAAAAAAUCAAUUUUACCACAGUAUUAAAGGACGGAAUGGUAACUUACUAUUUAUCACAUCAAACUAUCAAAAUAAUUAAAGAAUAAAAUGAUUUUCCUGUCAGCCUCAGCCAAAAUUCAACCCAAACCAAAAUCAUUAUACUCGUCUCUCACCAUUGAUGCCAAAGCAAAUUGCCGACGAUUGCCAAUGCCGCCUACUCCCAUACACGCACGUAACCAUAUCGCCACCAGCACCUAUAUUCAUUUUUCCAAAAAAUAAAAAUAGGUAAAAAAAUCCAAAGCAAAUUACCAACACCCAUAUUCAUUCUCCUAUUUCUAAAUGCUACAAGUUAAUCAUUCCAUUAUCGUUUCCGUUGCAACUCUUAAUCCCUUUCAUUUGCAAAUGGAAAAACAGGCGUCAAAUGCAUCCGUCGUGGCCGUGGAAUCUAGUGCUUAGUGGUCAAAUGCAUAAAACAGCGUUAAACAUGUGAAAACUAAAGUAAAAUAAUUGUGGGCCCCCUAUUGUGAGAGAAGUAUUAUCUAGGGUGUCAACCCCGGAUGUACAAAUAGCGAAGUCUUUUUCAAAUUGUAUUUGUUUGUGGGUGAUUAAUUUGGAAGAAAUGAUUUUUUCAUUAUUCGGCGAGCUAAAAAUCUCAAGUUCAUUGGGAAUUUUUUGAAAAUUUCAUGAUAUACACGGGUUAGAAAAAUUUGGGUAAAGGCAUUAGGAAUUGGGGAUAUGGAUGGCGAUUUGAGGUGGAGGGUGUGGUGAUUGUAGUGCGAUUGUGGGUGUUAACACUGACUAUCGCCUGUGAUUUGUGUUAGCUCCGGUGGUGAGAUUGAUAGAAUGAUUUUGGUUUGGGUUGGUUUGUGGGUGGGUGGGUGGAGGUGAUAAAGAAAAAAAUCAAUUUUUUUUAAUUUUUAAUUAUAAAAUUUAAUUAUUUUGAUAGUUUAAUGAUAUAAAUAUAGAGUCACCAUUUGACCCUUUAAAAAUGUGGUCAAAUUGAAUUUUUUGGUUCACUAAAGGAGAAAUUGGCAGAAAAUGAAUGGAAGAACUAUUUGCACAACCAAAGGUGUAAUUAAGGUGAAAAUACUUAAAAAUAAAAAAUAAAAAUAUUUUGUACAAUAAUAUUGAAAGAUAUGAAUGUUACAGGUUAAUUACCCUUGGAACAUUACGUGGUAGUUAUCCUUCUCACAAAUAAUAUGAUUGGUUGGCAUACACGCACACGUAGCCGAUGUGGAAUAAGUUUGGUCAUUGAUUUGAUUAGAGAGAGAGAGAGAGAGAGAUGUAGAUUUGGCCUUGCUUUUGGCAUUGGGGACUGCAACGAAAAAUUUGCCAAAAUUGUGGCUUGUGUUGGCAAAUUAUUACAAUAAUGAAAUGUUCCCACCACUUUUUCAAAUUUGAAUGUUUUGUUUGAAUCUUCUGAACAAUCGAAUCAAUCAUUUCUCAUCCAAUCCGUUAUUGGAUGCAAUUAAGCUAUUCAUCCAGACUUGCAAAUAGGGUAAAAUACAGGAUUUUAAAAUAAAGAAUGACGUCAGCUAAAUUUUUGGAGGGAAGGCCAAAUCUUUCUUUCUAGUGGUCCUUGUCCAACCAAAUUACACGUCCAUUUCUAACCUAUUUCUGAGACAGAGUUUCCCCAAAUUGACAAAGUUCAAUACUUUGGUUUUGUGGUAGAAAUUCUCGUCGAUUUUGCUACUUUCGAGUUUCGGCAAUGUGAAAGGAGAGCCGCCCAAUUUUUUUUUUUGCAAUUUUUCUUAUCCACUGAAGCCCAACGUUAAGGAGCUUGUUGUUGUGGUCGAGUGAAGAUAUUGGGAAGAUAUUCCUUUCAUUUUUGCUACUUCCGAUUUUGUGGUAGAUAUUCCCGUCGAUUUUGCUACUUUCGAGUUUCGGCAACAUGAAAGGAGAGCCGCCCAAUUUUUUUUUUAAUUGUUCUUGUCCGCCAAAGCCCAACGUUCAGGAGCUUCUUGUUGUGGUCGAGUGAAGAUAUUGGGAAGAUAUUCCUUUCAUUUUUCCUACUUCCGGCAAGGUGGAAGGAAAGCCACACUAUACGGGUGAAGAUCUUCCAUUUUUGCAUAUUUGAAGGUAGCUUUAUUCAUCUAAAUAUGUUCUUUAACUGGAAAAAGUGCCAUUACAUCUACUGUUAUAAUUUAGAGGGUUUAUCUAGACUGGAUGAAAAUAGUGAUUAACAUCGAAUAUCCUUCUCGUUAUGAAUAUAAAUUGUUUCUUGGUAAAGCAGCCUGAUACGUUAGCGUGAAUGCAACUGGCGUGAAUAGAUUGAUUAGCCUGAGGUAAAACAUUAGCGUGAAUGUAUUUACCACAUUCUUUAUCUUCAGCAACUAGCAUGUUUUGAUUAAUUAUGAAAACAGUUCAUAGUUUAACAAGCAUGGGUGCCCCAAAGAUUUGAACCUGUAAUUUAUGAACAUAAAAUUCUUCGUAUGUUAAAUAGAUUGAUUUUCUAUCGUACAAUAGAUAGUUGUUGUAUAUGUUCACUGAACAUGAAUGGUGUUUUUUUUCACAGCGUAAUAAAGUAUGGAUUUGAAUGUGUAAGACAAGCAGGACGAUGUUUUAGUGCAAUCUAAUAAUGUUGAGUUGCUGGAGUCCGGGAACGUAGUGGAAGGUGUAACAUCAGGCGGAGAUGGUGUAAUUGUGCCCGAAGUGGGUAUGUUGUUUAAAAGUGAAGUAGAUAUGUAUGAUUUCUACAAGAAAUAUGCUUAUGCGGUGGGUUUUUCAGUUAAGAAAAGGAAUUCAAAAAAAGGAGACGGUGGAGUUGUGAGAUACAUGACGUUGACAUGUAGUCGUGAAGGCGGAAUAAUCAGUAAUAGUAGCGGUUCUUUGAAGCCGCAACUCACAGUUAAAAUGGGUUGUAAGGCUAGGAUAUCUGGAUCUUCCGGUAUUUUUGGAAAUUGGAGAAUUAAUGCAGUAAAUCUCGACCAUAAUCAUGAAACAAGUCCUUCUAAAUCCAGGUUAUAUAGGUGCAACAAGCACUUGAGUGCACAUGUGAAACAACAGCUUCAAGUGAAUGAUUUAGCGGGAAUCCCAUUGCAUAAAAGUUACAACUCUAUUGUUGUAGAAGCAGAUGAAUAUGAAAACAUGACAUGUAUUGAAAAAGAUUGCCGUAACUACAUAGAACAAGUAAGGCGUUUAAGACUUGGAAAAAGAGAUGCUGCAGCAAUUCAAACCUACUUUUCAAAAAUGCAAGCACAGAGCCCUGGAUUUUACUUUAGUAUGGAUUUGGACGACAAGUCGCGACUCGGAAAUGUAUUUUGGGCAGAUAAUCGGUGUAGGCAGGCAUACAAGGAGUUCGGUGAUGUCGUUACGUUUGAUACCACUUAUCUAACUAACGAGUAUGAGAUGUCGUUCACCCCUUUUGUUGGAGUAAAUCAUCAUAGACAAUCAACACUGCUUGGAUGUGGUUUGGUAUCCAGUGAAGACACAGAUACUUUUAUAUGGUUAUUUAGGACUUGGCUUCAAUGCAUACACUAUCAUGCUCCACAUGGUAUAAUUACCGAUCAAGAUAGAGCAAUGCAAAAUGCAAUUCAGGUUGUUUUUUCAAAUACGAAACACAGAUGGUGUUUGUGGCACAUUUUAAAGAAGUUGCCGGAGAAACUUGGCUACCACGUGGAUAAAGGUUCCAUAUUUGGGGCUAUACAUGGUUUGGUAUAUGAUUUACAGUCUACUGGGAAAUUCGAAGUCGGUUGGAAAACAAUGAUUGACACAUAUGAGUUGCAUGAUAAUGAUUGGUUAUCUGGAUUGUACAAGAAUAGAGGGCGUUGGGUUCCAUACUUCUUCAAAAUCACUUUCUGGGCAGGUAUGUCUACUACACAAAAAAGUGAAAGUAUGAAUGCAUUCUUCGACGGUUACGUGCAUUCAAAAACCUCGUUGAAGCAGUUUGUCCAACAAUACGAACGUGCUCUUAGGAAUAAAGUUGAAAAGGAAUUUCAAGCUGAUUUUAAGUCAUUCUCGCAGAUGGUACCUUGUGCGACACAAUUUGAAAUGGAGCAACAAUAUCAAUCAAUUUACACCAUCUCAAAAUUUCGUGAAGUUCAAGCCAAAUUCACGGGGAAGGUGUAUUGUGACAUCCAAUCCACUUCGAAAGAUAGUUCCAAAGUGAUGUACGAAGUACGAGACACUAUUAUGUGUGAGGGCCAUCGGAGGAAACAAGACGUAUACCGUGUCUUAUGAGAGAGAUGAAUGUGAAAUUAUUUGUAGCUGUCACUUGUUCGAGUUUCGGGAAAUACUUUGCAGACAUGCUAUCACAGUGCUAGCACUAAAUGACGUCACACAUAUUACGGACAAGUAAAUACUGAGGAGAUGGAGGAGAGAUGUGCGUAGAGCACACACGAGGGUUGCUGUAAACUACAAUGGGUUGGUUAGUACUCCAGCUCAAAUGAGAUAUGAAGAGAUGUCUACUGGUUUUGCGCAGCUAGCAAACCUUGUUGCAGAUGAUGAAAGGCGUUCACUUGCAAUAAUAAAGUGGAUAAAAUGUCAAUGCGAAGAGCUUACGUCUACAAAAUCGAGUAUUGGAAGUAAGGUCGCAGCGCAAAACACUGUUCAGGUCCUCAAUCAGUGCACUGAUGUGGCAAAUAGUACGAGUGUUAGCAUAUUGGAUCCGAAGUUGACUUGAAGAAAGGGAGCGCCAAAGAAACUUAGAAGAAAAAGCCCGUUGGAGAUUGUAUCAAAGAAAGCGGAAGUAUGCUUUAUUCUUUGAUUGUAUUUUGCUCAGUUGUUUUGAAUUAAGAUCAAAAAUAACUUUGUUGCACAUGCAGUCCGGUUCGAAGUCAGCCACUUGUAAGAGAUCGACAAAGAGCAACACUAGUAUGCUUGAUGGAGGAUUUGACGUCCAGCUUCAUCAAGCACAACUCCAUGCUGACGCCGUUCCAUAUUUGUCCAACUCCAUGUUGACGCCAAACUCCCUUCCACAAUAUUCCAUUCCCACGCCAUUCACCUAUCACAGCACGUACCAUCUGCAAACGUUAUGUAUAAUUCGCAAGGUAUAAAGUUAUGUCUUUGAUGUAAAUUGAAAAAUCAUUUUCUCAUGAUUGCUUUAUUUAACGUUGACAAUGUAUUUUAUUGUAAGUCAAAAUAUGUUGUUUCACUAUCCAAGCUUACCGAACGAAGGUGGAAGAGGCAUUUGAGUGGGUUGUUUCACAAUGUUAUUGAUUUUUUGGUGUACUCGUAGAUAUAUUAUUAUAUAACAGUAGUCAUAAAGGAAAAUGAAUUGUAGUUUUUCUUGGCUUUAUAUCCUGAAGCUAAGGCAUGGUGCUUUUUUUUUUUUGGUCAAUGGCAAAAAUCUCAUAAUGUGCCACCAUGGUAUUGUUGCUGUUCAUUCUUGUUUUCUGACAUUGCGUCUUUGCUAUUUUAAGAAUUUGACCUCUUCUUCUAGAUAUGGAGGAUUUCUUUUAGCUGGUCAUAUCCUGUUUCCCUAUUAAUGCAACAACAAUUGCAAGGGUUAAAACUAGAGAGAUAUAUCAGUCCUGUAGAGAAAGAACUUGCUGGUGCAGAGACAACAUGCUGGUGCAUCAGCUGUAGUAAGCAAGCUGCCAUUGGUUCAGAGGCUGUUGUCAAAGUUACUGGUUGUUUUAGUCGCUUAUUGCUGGGAGGAAUUCAAUGAAGAUGAUUGGAAUUUUGUUUUAAUUCGGUCAAGAUUUUGUUGCUGAAAGUUGCUGAAAAUGUGAAUGAAUUUGUACAACAUAGCUCUUAUGGUUGUCGAAAAUUUUUUAUUAGCUUUUCUUUUAAUUCCUUUGGUUAGAUGUAUGCUGAAUUUUACCAGAGAACUAACUGGUUAUGGAAAAUGUAUGCUGAUUUGUACAAGCUAAAUGUUGAAUUGUUCUCUAAUUCAUUUGGUUACCUUCCAUUAUAACAUAAAACCAUGCAACUGACUUUAGCACAUUGUUUAUAGCUUCUUAUAUCUAGUAAGCUAGCAUCUAAUAUUCAAGUGAAAACAUAUGACAGGAAAAGAGCAGCAUGUUGAACCCAAUAAUGACCAGCAUGUAUCAUAAUGAAAGGCCAGUAUGUUGAAAGGCCAACAUGUUUAGAGCUAGCAUCUGAUAAUGACUACUGAAAUAUCAAAAUGAAAAGCCAGCAUGUUGAACCCAAACAGCAAAAUGUAGUCACAAUGUUAAAACAGGAAAUAGCAUUACAACAUGUUUUUACGUCCAUAGUAGUCAUAUAUGUGCAAAUCUAUCUCAUGUUACUUGUUCCAUAACUAUCUAGUAAACAAACUAGUCGUUUCCCUUUUGCAUUGCCUUCCACGCUAACUUUUUCCACCCGAAUCCUCACGUCCACCGAAAUUUGGAGGUGUUCUUCGUCGUUUAUUCGAAUUUGAGAUUGGAAAGUACGGGACAAGUCUUCAAGUAUUUCAUUCUUCACAUGGUUAAUCAAGUUUGCACUACUAUGUCCAGAUGGACCGCUGGAGUACUCUUUGACAACCCACUCCCAAAAGCCGCAGUUGUUACUGCAACGAAGGAAUAAUUUUCCUUUGUUCUUAUUCUCCUUCUCCACCACAAAACAUUUCUCAAAUCCUUGUUGACAUCGUUUGCACUGAUGUUUCUUUAUACAAUCGGCAAAGAAGUGAUCUUUAGCUCUACAACUGUGACAUAUUCCAAAAUUCCUUCCAAGCAUUCUGAGAUGGGAAUCAACCACCAACAACGAAGAUGAAGUCAAUAACAACGAUAUACAACAAUAAUAUGUACUAUGUCAACACAACAUGAUCACAAAUAUACUGGCCAUAACAAUGACUGCCACAAGUUGCAGGGCAACUUCUCAAUACGGCGAAAACUGUGAAUUAACCACAUUUACAAAGAAAAUCUUCUAUAGAAAACUGAAUUUAUAAAAAUGAGCAUUUCGUAGGACAUUGUCAAGUGAUGAAACGAUAACAAUGACUCUUCCUUCUAUGAAUUACUGUAAUAUCAUGGAAGUUGCAAUUUUCACUAAACACUAUCAAUUUUCACAAAAUUCGUCGAGUUUUGAUCAUACGAGUCCCCAAUUCAUUUCAUUUCACAUAUAUUCCUCCAAUCCUAUCAACCCCAUUUACCCCAAUAGGCACAUAACAACUUCCUGUAAGCAAGAAUUUAUGAAAUACAGAACAUUGUACCUAAGCAAAGCUGAAAAAAUGGAAAAUGAUGAAAUACAAAUUAUUCUACCUACUUGCGAGGUCCGGUGGUUUGCAACGACGGGUCGUUCACGAAGAUGCAACGCUAUGGAUCCUUCCACGGUAACUACGACCAUCGACAAUGAGGGGUUUGAUAGUGACUGGAAACAAUGGGUCAAGCGAUGGCGAAGCCCUUAUAUUACGCUGCUUGGAAUUGUGGCUGGCGAUGGAAACUUUUGCAGAUGGUUUCGAAUUUGGGAAGAUAGAUUUGGGGAAUGGGGUUUUCUUUUGGUUCGAGGAGAGAGAGAGAGAUUUGGGGGCUAGGUUCUGUUCUGGUUCGGGAAGAGAGAAUUUGGUUGAGGAAAUGAAGGGAGAAACAACUAUUUUCCUAAUAUCUUUCGUUUAUUUUUUAAUUCUUUUCAGUAAUUUUUUUUCCACGUCAGUCUAUUUUCUAAUCUGUUUGUGAGUCUAUCCGAGUAGCGUUGUCCUAUUGGAUUUGCGUUUUGUUACGUUUACAUCCAAAGUUGACGCUCCAAAUGACAACUCUCUCACAAGAGGGGACCGAAGAUUCUUUAAUUACGCACGACUUGCCUCUUGUGAGGGAACUGUCAUCCGAUGUAUCAAUCCUGAAUGUACAAACAGCAAAACCUUAGGCUCAAAAUUCAUAAUUUUUUUCCCCCUCUUCAGACCAACUUAUGAGUAUACAUUGAGUAACAAGACGAACACAUCACACCACAGCCUCCUUCCAUUCAGGACAAAAAUUAAGUCAAAACUAAAUUAAUUAAUUAUAUUACAACAAAACCGUCAAAAAAACAACUCUCACCGGCCAUACUAUUUAGCAAACUACACAGACGGACAGCUUAACCAAAUUGCAUAACCAGGUCAGCUGCCAUCUUCCAUAUCCCAAAUUUACGGUAGGAACCUGAAACCACCACACUCAAACUGCAACCAUCAUCCCAAAUUUACGUACAUCACCUGUUUGACUCUGAUAUUAAAGCCAGGACCACAUUGUCAUCAUUAUUUGAUUCCAUGGCAAGCUGGAACGGCAUUGUAUCUUGCUCAUUCAUAGCUCGUGGAUCAGCUCCCCUAGAGUAAAUACAGAAUUACAACUAACUUGUGAGUGCAAAAUCAACUAAAUAAACUAAAAAACUUCAGAAAAGAUAUUUUCCAGUUCCCUUUUUCUACUACUGGUGUUAAAAGUCUUCUGAGAAGAAUAUAAUACAAGACACAUUCUGAUAUUGAAAUCAUUGAUCGCAGAUUAUUGACCUUGUAAGAAGCAGCUUGGCAAAUGUAGUUUUGCCUCUGGCAAUACAAGAAUGAAGAGGUGUGUGACCCCUUGAAUCAGAAGCAUUUAUGUCUGCACCGUAUUGCAGAAGAAGCUCUAUCAUUCCGAUGUCCGCAGUUUCACAAGCGAGGUGAAGCAACGAGCAUCCAUGAAGACAUUCCAUAACGACAGUGUCUUCACCUGUACUAACCAUGCUUGAUGAUGGCUCCAAGCAACCAGAGCACUGAUCAAAGGUGGUUCCUUCUUGAUACACUGUUAGUUUGGCAAGGGUACGAGAAGAGUUGAAAGCUCCUUGCCCAUAGCUAGUAUUUACAUCAGCAUCUGAGUUAACUAUCAGUCUAUACACAGCCUUCUUAUCAUUAGCACGUACAGCAUCCCAUAACUGUUGUGCAACUGAACGAUUUUCCUUGGAUUUCCAAACGAAAAUUUUUUCUGCAUACUGUGGUAAAGAAAAGAACAUAUGCAUGCUCUAUCAGGGGAAAAAAAUUGAAUAAUCACCCAUUAGAAGGUAUCACAGAUCAUUUGCCUGAAUUAUUUAUUACAUAGCCAUUUUUAGAGACAAGCGGCAAGUCUAAAUAGCUCUUCAAGCUUAUUUCCCAAUUGAGAAUUCAUUCAAAGGCGCUGAUUCUUGUUCUUUUAACCACUUGUUCUUCUUAAAAUAUUGUCAUACAACAGGAGAGUGUACGCAAAAUUAGAAAUGUAAACCCAUGUUAACAUCAAAAGACCCAUGCUGACCUGGGGUGUUGUGAAUAUCUUCACAAUUUAAAGGCAAAAACCAGAUAUACGAAAUAUUUUUCUACUCACACUAUGUUUGGUUCUCAUUUUUUCCAAAAUACACUUCUCUCUCUUUUUUUCAACCACACAUUCUUUAAUAAAAUAAUAUUAUAUGCAAAUCCAAAACUUUUCCUUAUUUUUUAACCAUACAUUCUCCAUCAAUCAAUUAUUCCAAAAUGCAUUUUUUCAAUUUAAUGGGGCUCAAACAAGUCCUCAAAGUUACAAGAGAAACGAUCAACGAAAUAAGGGCUAAAUCAAGGACAUGAAUCUAAGAGAGUGAAAAAAGCAGUACCUUUGCAUGAAUAAAUUGUUCCUUUGUUGAAAUUGAAUCAGUAGGACUGGGCUUGCUGAAGUAAACUAUUUGCUGUUUAUUAGGCCUGUACAAGCUUCAGUAUGUAAUAAUAAAUCAGUAAUCUAUUGGUAAAAUGAAAUUCAAAAUAAGAAAAAUGAUUAUUAUAUACAAAAUCGAAACAUGUUUCAUAAUUAAGGAGCUAUUUACCUAGUAGGGCCAAGAUCAACCUGGAAGACACCCUUCGACUGCAACAAUUCCUCCCAGACAGAAUUUGAAAAGGUGUUGCCCAGAGACUGAAACAGAUUUAUGACAGCUGGAUCCCAAACUUUAACAUCAAGAGUCAGUGACCUCACCUGCAAGGGGGAAUACGAAACUAACUAAUAAUACUUUUCAUAUACAGAAGCCAAAUUAAAGCUGUCAUAUGAAUAGCAGUUAAACAGAUAUGUUUGAAGAUAAUCACUAUUGGCUUCAAAAAGAAAUUAUGAAAAUCACGAGUAUCUACCUACCUCUCCCACUUGAGAAUCUAAUAAAAUACAUGAUACAAGAGUGAAAACUUUGAUAGCCAAAUAGAUGUUAGGACGUAUAGAAUGUGCUGAUUCCAAAACCCGAAAAAAAAAAAUAAUAAUAAUAAUAAUAAUGAAAAAUGAAAACCUACGUUAACAGGUUUAAAUAGUUGAGGCUACUUCUUUAGUUCAUUAAUCCAAAGGGCAUUACUUAAUUUAAAUCAAAACUUCUUCAAACAAUGGGGAAUAGGCAAGUUCUCAUAUCAAGUACACAAUCCCCUCAAAACAUCCAGUACAAGUCAUUUACUGGUGUCGAAUGACAAUGCUAUAUUAUAUACCUUAGAUAUGUGCACCCCAAGAUUCCGAUGAACACCAGAGCAUUCAAUGCAGACAAGAACACCUAGAUUCAAGGAUGCCCAAUCUGGUUCAGAAGCACCACAAUCGGCACACUUGUUGUUACCACAUACUUUCUGCAAUAUGUCAAUUGGCUUUUCACUUUUCAGAACAGAUCUUUGGUGUUGUGAGCUUCUCAAAGAGCGUUCUAUGUGCACAGAGGCAAGCCUCUCAGGUAUGUAUUCUUCAACUGCUCCAUGAUCAAAGUCAGGGCUUUCCAAUGAACUACUUUCACUUGUAGAUCGAUGAUGGCCACUGCCCAUUGGACUACCAGGCAAACACUGGAAAACAACGAGUCCAAUUAUUGGAGCAUUUGAAAAUCAAUUUAUAAGUAAAAAUAAAAAAAUAAUAAAAAAAAGGUUCUUGAUAAAUUACCCUUUCAGGAGCCUGAGAACUCAGUAAUGACGCAAUUACCCCAGUAAUCUUCUCGAUCCAAUCCAUUUGAUCUAAGGCACUCUCAGCCUGCACUGACAGGCAAAAGGUGGAAAUUUUUACCAUGCAAACUAUCAACCAUCAACAUGAGGCAGCCCAUUGUGUAUUAGGCACAACCGCUAAGUCAAAAAUUAGUUCAUUAAAAGUGAAAAACAUACCAAAAUUUGAAGAUGAGAGUACAAAACCAGAUACUUUACCUGUAAUGUGUAGUUUUUUGUUGGUGAUAUAAUCCGGAAGCAGAACCUAAGAUCCGACUGGUCAGCAUUAACUUUAAUCGUUGAUGUCAACAGGUUAACAGUGUUAUGAGCAACAGAUUUUUCAUCAUGUACGCCACCAUGAUGAUGAGAAGACAGCCAACGGCUAAGCAGCCCAGAACCAAGUUCAGAACUAUUCCUUUGGCUAGAAAGUUGACUGCCAGACCCCUACAGUGCAUAAAUGUAAUGUUCUUUAAAAUGGGGUAAAAAAUAAAAAAGAUACUGAUGAGUUCACUUUUUAAGAUAUACUUCAAAUAUGUACUCACUGAUGGUUUGCUGUUUUGUUUGCGAUAAUAAUACAACAUUCCUCUGCUAUCAAGAACAAAGAACCUUCUUUUCCAGUCACCUCUCAUGUUUGAGGAACGUUUGGAAAGAUAACCUUGUCUAAUUGUUUGAACCUGAAAAUUUUACAACCUUUAAUGAGGUAUAAAAGAAGGAAAAGCAACAAUUAAGAAUGUUAGAGAUAAAUAACACAUUAAUGACAAUAUGAGGUCAGCAUUAAUUUCAGUGAUCUUUGAACCUUUCCUUUUGCAGCAGAUUGCAUAACAGCCUCUAUCAUCUUAUGUGAACUUCUCCCAAUAGAUUGUAUUCCAUCCCCAUUAGGAGAUCCAUUAGAACCAUUUGAGGACCAUCUGCUUUCUCUAUCAAUCUGUCUUUUGUAAUCUUGCAUCCUUUCGUUAAGAGCUGACUGCUCAUAGUUGGAUCGUUCUCUUGAUUGCUUUGCAUAAGUUGAGACCUGUAAUACAUGUAUGUCGACCAUUCAAGCACUGUUGUGAUGGAGAUACAGAUAAAGACAGAGAUUGUUUAUAUAGGAUUUCAAAUAAGAGUUUAAUUAAAAUAAUGAUUUUUUAGAUGAGAUUAAAUUACAUUUAAUAUUUCAAUAAGAUUUUAAUUUAUUAUAAGUUCGUUUGGUUUUAAUUUCUUUUAAGUUUAUUGGCUCUAUAGAGGGCUUAUUCAUUGUAAUAUUGACCCUUGAUGACCCUAUUUUAUAAAAAAAAAAAAAAAAAAAGACCCUUGAUUGUCAAUUGGAUUCUCUCUCCUUUCGAGAGUUCCUUUAAAUACAAUGUGUCAAGAAAAUUACCCGGCUAGUAAUCUAAAAUUCCAUCAACUAUGCCUACCUUAGAUGGAAACAAAUAACUCUAUACUAGAUAUAGAAUAUUGACAUCUAUUAUCCCCUAAAUACAGCAAUCAUCCGUAAAUAUAGAUCCAACUAACAUCCCCCUCAAAUUAAUGCUGAUGGAUUAAUAAGCACCAAUUUGAUCACAAGGAACUGAUGACACUGACAAGUCAUGACCUUUGUAAAAGUAUCAGCUAUCUAGAGGGCAGUGGAAAUAUGAGGAAGAGAAAUGACACGAGCAUUUAAGGCCUCUCGAGUAGAAUGACAUCCACCUUAAUGUGCUUCGUACGCUCAUGGUAAAUAAAAUUAGCAACAAUCUGAAUAACACUUGUAUUAUCUACAUGAAGAGGACUACGAGCAGGCUGUAAAAAACCAAUCUUAGUUAGAAGGCCACAAAGCCAGGCAAUCCCAAAACAACAGACAUUGCAUGAUAUUCAAAUUCUGUAGACGAUUUAGAAACACAAGCCUUUUUUUUUUUUCCGCUCUUCCAGGAAAUUAAAGAAUCACCAAGAAAUAUGCACCAACCAGUGAAAAAUCUUCGAGUGUCAGAACAUCUGGCCCAAUUUGCAUCACUAUAAGCAGUGAAGACGAAGAGGAGUCAUUGCAGAGAAAAAUAAACCACGACUAGGAGUGCCUCGGAGAUAACGAAUGAUACAACGAACAACAAUAAGUAAUGAUUGAGUGGAGUUUGCAUAAACUUGCUAACUUGCUAGACUGGGAAAGAUAUAUCCAGUGAAGUAAUAGUCAGAUAAUUUAAAAUCCCCACUAGCCGGCGAUACUUAAUGGGAUCAUAUAGAUGAUCACCCUCCUCGUUACGAUACGUUUUGUUGACUUCCAUAUUAGUAUCUACAGAAGAUGAAUCCUAAAGACUGAUCAAAUCCCUUGUGUACUUAUUUUGAUUUAAGAGGAUACCAGAAGGACUAGUGUGAACUUCCAACCUUAAGAAAUAUGACAAAGGACUAAGGUCCUCCAUGUGAAAUGAAGUCUAAAGAUGUUGCUGUAGAGAUGUAAUCAAGGAGGAAUCCAUCCUAAUUAUAACAAUGUCAUCAAUAUAGACAACGAGAAGAACAAUGCCAGUAGAAGUCUGGCAAAGAAAAAAGGAAGAAUCAUAUCUGCUCUGUUGAAAUGAAAACUGAAGUAGGGUAGUUCGAAACUUGUCAAACCAAGCCUGUGGAGCUUGUUUUAGCCCAUAUGACGAAAACUUCAUCUUAGGACAUCUGAUGAACAAAUGGUGGUCAGACUAGAGGUAGUGCCAUGUAAAUAUCCUCUUUGAGAUCACCAUGGAGAAAAGCCUUUUUGACAUCCAUUUGAUGAAGUGGCCGACCUUGGGAAGCAGCAAUAGAAAUAAUAGUCCGUAUUGUAGUCAUCUUAGCGAUUGGGGCAAAAGUCUCUUCAUAGUCCAGUCAUCUUAGCGAUUGGGGCAAAAGUCUCUUCAUAGUCCACCCCAUAGUCCUGUCUAUUGCCAUAGACUACCAAUCGUGCCUUGUAAUGAUCCAAAGUCCCAUCAGAACGAAGUUUGAUAGAAUAAAUCCACUUACACCAAUGGCUUGAACAUUAGUAAGACAAGAAACGUCCCGAGUAUGAUUAUCCAGAAGAGCUCUAAAUUCCUCUGCCAUGGCCUCUCGCCACAUGCAUGCUGAAUAGCCUUGGAAUAACAUGAAGGAAUAUGUAUAGUAAACAAUGUAGCAUGAAGAGAUGUAUCUGAAAAACCAUACCGAUCAGGAAGACGAGAUUCUAGUAAAGAGACAAGGUAUGGUGGCACCCAAAUCAUCUACUAAAAGUACAAUUGGAGUAGGCUCAAAUGGUAGGUCGAUAGCAGAAGGGACAAUCUGAACAGGAUCAGAUGGUAGGUAAGGCUGAGGAAGAGGCAAAGUCAAUUUUCUUCGUUCAUACACCAAUCCAGUAACAAAUGAGCGAAAUUGAAAUUCUCAGGUAGAAUAAUUCUUACCCGUGAAUUUCACACCAAAGGAAUUCAAAUUUCUAGAAGCCAUUGUAAAAUAUUAACGUAAUAGCAAAAAUAGACAACAAAUUUGACAAUACUAAGAAGCCCAAGUGCCACCCGAUUUAUGCUAAUAAAUAAGCCAAAAAUCUGGCCAAAGAAUUAGGAAUGGCAAUUUGAAUCGUCAAAAUCGAAAAUCGUGGUUAACCGAACCGAACGGGGCUAAAAAAGUCGAAUCGAUGUUGCAAUGGGGAGGAUAUGGUAUUUGAUUUUAAUUACCCGGUUCGGGGCGGUGUAGGUAUGGUAUUUAUGCCAUCGCCCCCGAACCGAACUGAUUACCCGUUAAAUUAAUCUUUUUCCAUCUAAAUAGCAAUCCAAUGCAAAACAUGUAUAAAAAAAUAAUAAUAAUAAAUAAAAGAUAAUAAAAAAAUCUAAUUUUAUAAACUCCACAAGGGCCUUUUUUCUUCCUUUACAGUCACACAUGAUGGUUAUCAACUUACUCGCUCUUGAAGCAAACUCAAUCAACAAUUUCAGCUUCAAAAAACUUAUUCUCUUACGGUAAAUUUGAUCAUUUGAUUAGUUUUAGACAUCUGGAUUGACUAGAAAUUAAGUAUACACGGCAUUUGCCUUUCUUAAUUUGGUCAUCAGUAACCUAGACAUCACCCUUGGUACCAUAAAUCGUCGCCUUUUUACAAAUGUACCCUUUAUCGGUCCUUCGUACAAUUUUGAUCUGGUAAGUGAUCAACAACGCAAAUUGUUUGAAGUACUCCAAUAAAAUCACUCGAUUAUCAGUUGAUAACCAUCGUGUGUGAUUUUUUUAUAAUUAUUUUUUUUAAUUUGAUGACUAGACCUAUGAAAAAUAAUUUAUUUUCAUGGUUAUUAACCGAACCAAACCGAAUCGAACCGAAACCGACUUGCGUGGUUAUGGUGCGGUUAUGGUAUGAUAAAAAAAUUGGCAGUUCGGUGAUGGUUUUGGCAGAACCGAACCUUUGUCAACCUUACAAAGAAUGCACUUUUACCUACGUCAAAAGCAAUCUAGAAAUAUUAAAACCCAAAUAAGACAACCAACACAAAAUAGCCCAAUUUAAGAAAUCAAGAGCCCAAACUCAAAUUAUAGUAACAAGCCCAAGAUUUCAGCCCCAAAUUAUUAACUCCCUUCCAGCCCACGACACAAUUCAACAACAGAGAUCAGCUGUCCCAAUCUCAUGCAACGCGAUUGAAGGUUGCUUACCAAAAAGGAAGAAGCUGGAAUCAUUUUGCAACCAAAAGACACAAUCAAUUAUUAUGACACCAAAAGAACCCGCCGUCUAUCAAUCAAGUCCAGCAGAGUCACCGAAGCCACACAACCAAGAAAUCACUGACAAUUCCUCGACAAAAAUCACUGGCACCACGAAAUUAAAAUCCCAGCAAUCGUACCAUAAAGGUAAAUGUCGAUUGCUCAAAAAUCUCCUCACGUCAGAACACCAGAAAGUUUCAACACCAAAGGAAACUGAAAAUUUGAGUUUCCUUAACCAAAGUAAAAUUCCAGAAAAUUGAAAAUUAAAUUUCUCGCUCUAAUACCAUGUCAAUUGGAUUCUAUCUCUCCUUUUGAGAGUUCCUUCCCUUAAAUACAAAGUGUUGAGAAAAUUAGAAGGCCAAUAAUAUGUUAUUCCAUCAAUUACACCUACCUUAGACGGAAACAAAUAACUUUAUACUAGAUAUAAAAUAUUGACAUCGAUUAUCCCCUAAAUACAAUAAUCAUCCGUAAAUAUAUAUUCAACUAGCAUUGAUUAUAUGUGAUAAAUUGCCUCCUGCCCUAAUUUCUUCUCUUCUUUGGUCCCCUUUCUUUUCAUAUAUCUUCUUUUUCGUCGUCGAAUUGUUACGCUCCUGCGUCAUGAAGUCUUGUUAAGAAACUCAAGAAGGAUUAUCCCAGAUGGUAAAACAUUGGGAAAUUAUGUUCUUUAACCUACAGUAACAAGCACAUCUUGCUCCAAGUUCAAAACAGGUAAAUCAGUUGAAUUAUUCUAACUAUACAAAGUAAGAAAGCAGUCGAUACAACAACAGUGAACAAUCCCAAAAACUGAAUCUGCAAGAAACAACAUGUAAACGCACAACAAACCUGAUUUAUAUAUGGUUCCAUCUGAUGCAACAGCUCAUAACCCUACAAGAAAACAAAUUAUUAAAAAGCUUGAGAAAUUAAAUGCUAGAAAAAAGAAAAAUAUGAAGUUCAAGCAUUUAAAGUUACCUGUUUAAAAUAACGAAGAUGAGCUGCCAUUGUUUCACUAACGGCUUCCAAAAAUUCAAACCUUUUUUUCACUUCAACAUUGGAGAGAGCAGUUACCUGGUUGAUGUACAUCCAAAUAAGAGAAAUGAAAGAAGUGCUUGCAGGCUGAAAAAUAAUCUAAUGAAAGUCAGAAGGGAAUGACAUCACCCACCAGACUAAAACGAGCUUGCUCAAAAUUUGACCGAGCAUGAUAGAGCUCCUGAAAAUGUUCCGGACAACAUGAGAAUAUGUAGCAUAUAGGUGCUACUUCUUAUACACACAUGAAUAAGUAGCUUCAAUCUCCAUAUUUUACCUCCUCCAGGACUGAUACUACAUCACUUUUUGUUCCUUUCCUCAAUGACAAAAAUUUCUCUCGAGCCUAAAACCAUAGCAUAUGUAUUAGAACUAAAAUAUGUGUUGCAAUAACAAUCCGGUUAGCAAUCCAAUAUCUACAAAAGGUUAUUGAUACAAAAGGACCAUAAAUUUCUCCUCGAUAAAGAAAAACUGUUUACAAAAAUUUCUUCUGCAUUAGAAUCAGAAGAGAACCAAGAUGGUGCUGGUAUUAUAGUAUUUACAGUAACUAUUUUGGUUUUCCAAUCUACUUGUCUACAUGAAUGUCAGUUACAAAUGCUGGAAAUUAUUUCCUUCACCUUGGACAACUAAAUGUUAUUGUUUGUGGAAAUUCCAAGGAAGCCACAAUAAAUUGGCAGCGCAGAUUCAAUGAAGCAUAAACAGUAUGGAGGGUUUGAAUUGUCACAACAAAUUCUUAACAUCACUGUUUAUGUGAAUAAAUCCUGUUUUGCAAUAGGUCACAUAUUGCAGCAUAUAUUAAUAAUAUCAAAGAUCCGUUGUACAAUUAGACAAAUAGUGAAUUUUGUCAAGAACACAAAUCUUUUUCAAAUAGUGUGGACAUAAUAUAAAUUAGUGCUUCAACAAGUUGUUACCUUCAAACAAAUUCCUACAGGACAAAAUAAUUAACCAUGAGAAAAAAGGGGUGCAGCGGAGAAUUUGAGAAGCUGUAUUAAAAGAUCACCUGAUCAUAAAGAAGAGUAGCCUUGUCAAAGCGUUUCCGUGUUUCCUGCAUAAGAAAUUCAAUAGAGAAACUAAUAAAAUAUAAAUUUUGAAAUUAAAACAACAUCACUGAUAUAUAAUGACGUGUGAAAUCUCGUAAGUAAAACAAAUUCAGUAAACUAAACGUCAAAAAUCAUAUAGAAGCCAACUUAAAUCAUACAAAUUUCAAUUACAAGUUUACUCUUAUCAAAAUAAAUUUAGGUCAGCUGAACGAAUCUUUUAUUGUAAAAUCUCGAGUUUCUCCUUUACUACGGAACUCUUCAUCCAUUCUUGACAUAUCUUUUUAUACCCUAAAAUUUCAUUAUCUCAGUCAUUAACCACAAGAUAUCUAAUUCACCAAGACACUUCAAGACUUUAAUAGGAAUUGCUUUUCUCGUCUCUGUCAUCUUCAAAUACACCAUAAAUUUCGAGAAUCGAAUCCAUCCAGUAUGGUUUCGUAUCUUCAAAAUAGUUUGACAGGUUCCCAAGAUCCACGGCUCAUCUUCCAUUAAAUAAUUUUUUAAACUAAUGCCUUCAUAUUUUUGUGUCUUAUCUCUACAAUUAAGUAGUAUAGAUAAUAAUUGCAAGUAUACAGAAACAAAGUCGUCCUGCCAGCAAAUUGAGUCACUUGUAAACAAUGAACACAGAACGUGUAGAUCAUAGAAACAAGAAAUUUGGCUUCUUUCCAUCUUAUUUCCAUGUCAAAUCUUCAAGCUAUCGUGCUGCUUCUUCCUACGUCAAAACCUACACGAGAAAUUAUGUUUGAAUUUUAUUUAUUUUUUUAUUGUUUUAUUUUAUACAUAGGUAAGGGUUUUGUGUCUUGAAUUUCACGCCAAAAACUCCCCAAAAUGCUCUUAACUUGAACAAUUAAAGUCACAGGCAGAUUCCGUUAUUACAGGCUUCAGGCACAUGAGACCAUAAUGACAAAAAGAUAGAACUUACAAAUUUACAGUACCUUUACAUCGUGCAAAUCUAAGUUGACAAACUGCAGCAAUCGAUCAUUCAGCAUGUUCUCAACCUGAACGGACAAAGAGAGCAAUCUUAUAUGCAGGCAUAUAUCAUUACUUAGAAUCGAGUGUUCAUGUCUUCCCCUUUCUUAUACUUAUUUAUAACUUCUAUUCGAAGGAAAUAUUGACCUUGGGAAAAGAGAUUGCUUCAAAACCCAGGAAUAGGUAGUGGAUAUUGACUUCUUAGAGCAUCUCCAAGAGACUUUUUAUUUAUAAAGAGCAUCUUAUGUACUAUAGGCACCUUUAAAUUUAGAUAGGCAAAAUUUUAUACACUCCAAUAAACUCUCUAUUUUAGCACUUCAUUUUAUUUUUCUCAAGAAACGUUUAUUGAUUUCUCUUCAUAUUUUAUUUAACAUAAUUUUUUAUUUGUCAAUUGACUAAUCAAUUUAAAUGUGGUUUGAAUACUUUAAGAAGGAAUAUGUGAUUUAUUAAAUGUAAUCACUGUAAUUAUAAAUAGAAAGUGACUUUAGCUCUCUAAAUUUUGAUAGCCAAAUGGAUUAAAAUAGAGAGUCUAUUGGAGCUCCUUUUUAAGCGUUGACUCUAAAAUAAAGAGUAUUUUGUAUUUAAAGGAUCUUUUAGAGAUGCCCUUACUUUAAUAGAAUGGAGGCAUGGAAAUUUAUGUUGGCAACCAAAAGUGAAUGAAAAACAAUGUUUAUCAAAAAUCCUUACACAUCAUAUUGGUGUUAGCUACAGAUUAAAACAUAAAUGUAAACAAGAAGACAUGUUACUGAAGAAAAGUCUAAAAUUGUGAUAGAAAACUAAAAUGAAGGCAGGUCAGUACAUCAUCAAUUUUGCAACCUUUUAAAGAUAUGGGAAAAUUCACAAAGAUGGAUACAUCCAUUUCAAGAUUAACAUAAUGAAGAAUCAAAUAAGAAAACUAUGAAGCGAAAAGUGACGAGCUCAAAAUUUAAUAAACCUGAGUGAUUGACAUUAGUUAUUUUAGAUAUGAACCGCAGUCCUGAAGAAAUUAGUAGGAAACAAUAACAGACCUACUAUAAAAUCUACAAGUGAACUUUUUAAGCAAAGUUUUAUCAUUUAAGUUACACUGAUACAAAGUUCCAAAAUUUCAGAAAAUUUUAAAAAUAUUUUGAACUUCUUUAUAUAUCUCCAGUCUCUCAAGUAAAUUUAUAGAUUCACAGAGAAAAAUAAAAUCUAGGAAAACAGAACCAAUACAAUGUUCACCUGAGAUCGAAGAACUUCUUUAUAAGUCCCGAUUUCCCUCAGUGCAAUUGUAAAUUUUGUCAUAACAGGACCUACAAGUUGAGCAUAUUUUCCCUCAAUGUCAUUCCUUAUAAUCAAAACACAGAUGGGAGCUAAUACACCAAUAUAAAAAUAAGCUAGUAAGUAGCAAUUUAUCAUCAAUAACAUCAAAACAGAAAUAUUUAGAAGACAGAUAAAAAAUAACAUAAAACUAGGCAUAUGCUGUGCAUAACCACAAAUUAUAAAAGUAUGUCCAAGUCUUUAAAAAUUUACCUAUCGGGACAGUAGUAGUUUCUAGUUUCUAUGGAUGAUAGAAAAAAAUUCAUUAACAGAAAUGGCAUUACCUAUAAUGCUGCCACAUGACUAACUUCCCAAACAUACACACAGAGCAAAUAUUUGGCAAGCAAGAGACAUGCACACAGGUAUGGCAAUGAUCGCUGCAUGGAUUGAUGCUGAGACGCUAUUGUUGAGCCAGUGGCUGUUUAACUUGACGGAGGAGAAAGGUUUUCUAGUGUGGUGGUAUUGAUGCUACGGACCUUGACAGUUGGUUAGCAGAGAAUGGAGGUCAAGAAUGUGAGGGGUAAUGUUGGUGGGAAGAGGGGCAUAUAUAGCCCCUGUUUAUCUUCCAUUUAAUUAAAACUCUUUUUUCUCAAACUCAUUUUCAACUACACAUUCACACAAUAAAACAUUUUUCCAUUAAGAGUGGAGUUUUGAUUCAAAUUAAUAUAUUCUAAUCCUCUAGAAAUGAUUUUUGCAUCAUUUACCUUAGUGUUAAAUCAUUUAUGGGAUAGUCAAUACCACAAGGGCCAAAAUUGUCGAGGAGGAUCUACCAAUCAAAAAAAUUUAAGCGAAAAAAAAACUGGAAAGGAACCAAAUCAAAAUUAAUUAGCUCAAAUUCAAGUUAUGAACCAUGUAACUUUCUGGCACAAUGAAAAUUUGACUAUAGAUUCAUUGUGAUUAAUUACAUGAUUAGGGGGUAUCAAAGAAUUUCGGAAAUAAAGGGACUCUUAACCCAUGUAAGGCUCCAUUUUGAUUCCACGAUGAUUGCAUUAAGCCAAGCAUUAUAUGCAUAAAAAUUACAAACAAUAUUUUAUAUCGCACAACUUGAAAAAGUUAAUACAACACAUAUAAUCCAAUGGACUAAUAUGGAAGGUUGUCACAUGUAGUGAUGUUAUAUCCAAUGUUAUCAAAACCAGCUCGGCCCGGCCGGUUCAACCAGUAAAUCCAGGCCAAUGAUGCCCGGUUUACUACUUAUGACUAAACCACUUAAAAACCCACCUAACCAGCAGGUUUAACCAUAAACCGGUCGCGAUUUUGUGGUUUUCCCCUUUUUUUUUAGUUUAAAAAAUUUAAACUUCAUGAAUGGGCCUCAUAAACAAUAAUUCAAAUGCCCAAAGAGAAAUAUUGGAUGAUAUGAGCCUUUAAUAGAUAUACCUCUCUUAAAUGGUUUUAUAAACUUCCAAUAUUAAAUAGUGCAUUUUAUAGAGGCACUUCUCUCCAAUGGUUUCAUGAACUUCCAAGGUGGGAUAGUGGCAUAACAAAAAUGUUAACAAAUUAUUAAUAUGAAAAUAAAAAUUACUGUUUUCAUAGUAUUUUAUUAUUUUUGUAUAUAUUUAUUGCAUCCGGUUCAAUCUCAGUUUGACCCCGGUUUAACCUUUUGACCCUUGACCCUUCACCUUUUCUAGGUCAAUGAGCGGGCCGGUUUUCAAAAUAUUGGUUAUAUCUGCAUUGUGACUCCCAAAAUUGAAGUAAAUAAUAAAAAAUAAUAAUGAGAGAGACUGAGUUUCACGGCCAAAUAAAAGAAGAAUAAGUUGAUUCGUGUACACAGUGAGUCAAAUUUCCAAAAUAUUCCUGUACCUCCGAAAGCUACACUAAUGGGGUCAUUGUGCCCUCCACCAAAAGUCUCCAGAGAACUAGCAAAAGCUAUGUCUCCAUCAUAUCCCUCGCCAAGCCCUUCACUGCAAGUGGAAUAACAAGAUUGUGGAAAGUCAAUGAACAUCAGAAACCACAGAAAAAUAAGAGAAGGGAAGGCAAAAAUAAUGAAUAAGAGGUACAAAAUCAACAAGGUUAGUCUAGCCUUCCAGUCUCCAAAAAACAGAAGAAUGAUGCCAAACACUAGAAUCCAUGUAGAACCUUGGCGAAUCAUUUUGCUCAAAUUUUUAACUAGUAGCACAUAACAUUUAUAAAUUAGGAAUUACAAACUCAAAAGGCUUUGCCAACAAAAGUUCGGAAGUUCUUUCCACUUUCAAUUCCAAGUAAUUCCAUUAUCCACUGUAAAACCAUUAACAUCCAAGGAAAUAAUAAAUUAUUUUAACGGAAAGGUGUGAUAGGAGAAUGAUUAAUCAUUAGCACGAAUUAGAUAAAGAAAAUUAACCAGAUUGUCUAAAGUAUAAGUCGCCAUUUCAAAUAUGAUGACAUCACAUGCUAGUUAAAUCAAAGACAACAUUGUAUUGAUUUUAUAAAAGGAGGACAGACAAAAGAAUUGCCAAAGAUGAGUUCCAAAAAGAGAGCUGAAUACGACAAAAUGUACUCACGUGUAUUUUCGACAUCCUUUGUAGAACUUCAGACAUCUCUCCCUCAAGGAUUCAGAACUUUCCUCCAAGUUUUGUAUCUGUUAAAAAAUAGAAACCAUAAAUGUAAGGAAACCACAACAAAAAUAACCAAUAGGCAAUUAGAACCUACAAGCUAGUAAAAGAAAAGCAAGUGGCUGCCACAUUAGAUAUUAGAAAUUAAUGUGUAGAACACACGUCUAAGACCACUUCAUAUGCCGACAUAAUGAGCUUGGAUUCUCCAAAACAAUAUGUCAGCCAUUAAAGGAUUGCAAAAUUUUCGGUAACUCGUAUAAGUUUUAGUUGAUCUCUGAAUGCAGCACAUGUUGAUAAGUGAACAGUAAGUCACAAGUUAAUUACAACUCCUCAUACUUCUUUCAAUUGAUAACUAACAACUUGACUUACUUUCUUACUCAUUAAUUAAACAUGCAUUCAUCCCAAUAAAUUAAUGGAGGAUAGUAAUGGUCUGUCAAGUACAAAAUUUUCAGUUUUUCCUUGACAGGAACGACCUUGAGAGAAUGUAAUACAGGAACAGUUAGAAUAAUUUAUGAUUGCACAAUUAUGCCUGCUUGCUACACUUGAGAAGCUCAAACUAAAAGGAAUGUUAGCCUAGGCAGUACAGAGUCGAUAUCAAAACUUAAAAGAGCCUAUAUUUUCUUCUCACUUCUUGAAAUAUCAGCACAGUUCAAGAAUUCAUGGAGAGACUUAACAUAAUGCAUAUUAGCAGUUGGCGAAAACUUAAACCUCAAUAGUGGCUACUCUUCCAUAAUUCGCUUAAGUUAAUUGUACAAUUCUGACAAUUAAAAUCACAUUACUAACAAAAUUUUCCAAAAAACAAAAAUAAAAACUAAAAAAAUAACACGCUCUUCAAAAGAGAAUCUCCGGUAAAGUUUUGCGCAACAAAAAUAAAAUUGAUAACUUAAAACACCAGUCGAGCUGAAAACGUAAAUUUAAAUUAUCUCUCUUAUACUGAAUUUCUGGGAGACGAAAAAAUGAAGAAGAAAUUAACUGACCUGUUUACGAAACAUAGGAGAGUCGUCGAGCUUAUCAAAAUGCAUGUUUGUAAAACUAAUUCUUCUUCGGAUUGACAACUCUUAAUUAACAUCAAACGUUUACUGGUAGAUAAAGGCCCGAUCUUUUGCAGAGUUAAUUGAGCCAAUCUUUAACUGUUUAACAUAAAAGAAAAAUCUUCCACUUUUUGCUCCGAUCUCAAAUUUCAUCUGAACAAGAAAACAGUAACAGUUGCUCUAAAUCAGAGGCUAAAUAACAUAAAAAGAAAAUCUUGAAAGCAGGGCAUGAUUUUUUUGUGAAAAAUAUAAUGUGAGCAUGAUUUUAUGUUGGGACGGGUAAAAAGAAUGUGUUUAUACAAAACCCUAGGAAAAAAAAAAACAAGGUUAAGAAGAAGAGUGAGAGUGAAGUGUUGGCAGUAAGAUUACAUGAAAAUCGCCUGUGUGUAAAUGGAAAGUCUUGGGAAUUGAUGAAUGUUUUUUUUUUUUUCCAGUAUAGAUUCUAAUUGAAAUGUUUUUCGUUUUCUUUUUGGCUUUUUUGGAGUGAUUGAUGAUAGCUUUUUAUUUUCAUUUGUCUGUAAACUUCCAAAGCAUCUUACCAAAUAAGUUGUUGAGGCUACCAUCACCAUCUGCUUUAGACAAAUCAAAAUAAAAGAAGAGAAAAAAUUGAUGAAAAAGAGAUGGACUCACUUCUUCUAUUUUGCAUUCAUUUGUUUUUACUAAAAAUCAGAUUUAUAGUAAAUUUCAAUAUAAAUUAGUGUGAUAUAUGAUUAAAAUUAAUUGUUGAUUUUUAAUUAAAUUUUUAUCAAUUAUUUAUCUAAACCAGAUAACGACUUUGUAAAUAAUGAUUUUAUUUUAUUUUUAGGAAAAUUUAUAAUUAGAAAGUAAGAAAAAAUUUUAAAUUUACGUGUAUAAUUAUUUUAUUGAAAGAAUUUAAAGUUAUAAAUGAGUUUCAAAAUUUAUGGACUAAAAAAAAUUUGUUUUCUUGUAUUAUUGUUCAGUCUUUAGAUAUUUCCACUUAUUUCGUAAUGUUAUGGAGCAUGUUUGAACCCCAUUUUUUGGUGUAAAAUGUAAUUUGAAAUAGUAGAUUAAUGGAAAAUAUGUAAUUAGGAUGUGAGAAAAAGUUUUGAGUUUGAGUAUAAUAUUAUUUUAUUAAAAAACGUAUAUGUGAAAAUAAAAUAGAGAAAAAAAAAUUAUUUCUGAAAUCAAACAACGGAAUGAUUCUAAGUUCGCAUACAGAGAAGAAUUUUGAUAGGUGAAAUAUAAGGAGGGGACAGGUCUUUAUAUAAUUUUGAUAAGUUUUCAAGGGUCCCUCCCUAACAACAUUCUUAUUGCCUUCAUCAACCAAUCAACUCAUUUUCCUCCAUUUAAUAUUAAAUCAACCUAAAUAAAUAAAUAAUUUAAAAAGAGUACUAAAAUGUUAAAAAAAUAAUUUCUAACAACCUAGUCACGUGAUUUCAAUAUUUUGUCUUACAUUACUGCACCUAAAUGAAUAAAAUCAAAUAUCUAUCAAUUGGGACGGGACGGGACGGGGGAGGGAUUCGUGAAGUUUGACUAAGCCCCUUUUUGAUACAAAAUUUUUUAAUUUGAAUCCAACUUAACAAUUAAUUUUUAUUACACAUUUUAUGGGUUCAUAAUUUUUCAAUCACACAUUUCAACAAUUUUUAUCUAAAUUUAUUAAAAUCAAAUAUAGGCAUUGUAUAGUCAAGGUUAGCCAAUGUUUCACAACCAUUAUUUUCAAAUUUAUUUUUCUACAUAUUCAUUUACAAUCACACAUUCGCAUAAUAAAAUAUUCUACACAUAUAUCAAAAACUUUCAUCUACAUUUUAAUCACGCGUAAAAGUUGUGUAUCCCAUAAAAUAUGGGGUUAAAAUUAAUAGUUGGCUUUAGCAUAUAUAUUUAUCAAUUUUUAUUUAUUUUUAUUUUUAUUUUUUUUAGCUAAACCAAACAAGAACAUAAUGUUCUUACCACAAUUGAGUUUAGAGUAUUUUGACUUGUGAAAUAAUCUAUCUUCUACAAGAAAAAAAAUAGAAAAAAAUAUGAUACCGAGAUGAAACUGUAAAAAUAAAAUCAUAUUCGUGAGAAAUAUUUUUUGUCGUGAGAUUUUUAGGUAUUUAUUGACUCAAAGUAUAAAGUCAUAUUUUGUAAAGGAAGAAAUACCAUUUGCCAAAUGAAUGGUGGAUAUGUUCGAAUUAAGAAAGAUAAUAUUCAUUCAUUUUUUUUUCUAUAUAGAAAGUUGCGAAAAUCUAUACGAAGAAGUUAUUGGUCCAUAUUUUAGUCGUGAUAGUAAAAGUAAUAUACCCAAAAUUAAGAUUGAUAGAAGAUAAAUGAUAGAUCUGGUUCGAGAAAGAUAGAUUCCAAAGUUUGUAUUGUCAAAAAAAAAAAAAAAAAAAAAAGGAUUAAUUAAGUAAUCCCAGCAUUGCCUUGGAAUCUAUAUCAAUCAAGGAGGUAUGGCCUGGCCACUUUUUGACCACUAGCCAUUUCAAUUUCUUAAACUGGAUUAAUCUUAAUUGGUAGAAUUUUUUAGACAAAAUGAUGGGAGAUAACAAAUAAUAAACCUGAAAGUUUGUAGACACAAGAAAAGCCUCACUGUCACUGACUUAAUAAUAUUAAAUCAGACACAAAAGGGCAGAAAAAGAGAAAGUGAUGAAAGAAAGAAGGGAAAAGUGGAAGCCAUGGGGACACCAAAUGCAAAUGAGAGGGAUGCUUUUUUCACUUUUAACGCACACAAAUUUGCAAUUUUCCUGAUAAAAUUUGAUCACUGAACUCUCAAGGGUGGGCUUGGCCCAAUGUUUUGAAAAUCUACCCGUACAUUGACCCGAGAAAAAAGUUAAGGAUCCAGAAUCUAGAAUAUAUUUUUUAAUUUUCAUACUAUUAAUACAAAUUAAACACAAAUCAAUUUUUUUAAUUAGAUUUAUUACUAUACAAUUAGUAUCGACACUUCAAGAACUAACCCUUAUAUUGAAAUAAUUUGCUUUGUUAAAUGAGCUUAUUGAAAAUAAUAUCUAAAAUUAUUGUGCUAAUUUUUAAUUUUAAGUUAAAUUGGAAAAUUGGAUAAAUAAAAAAAUUUGAAGUGGAAAUUUCUAUAUUUGUUAGACCCAAAAUCAAAUUAAAAAUCUAAAAGCCAACAGGCAUUUGGAAUUUUUAUUUUUAUUUUUAUUUUUUUUUUUUUUGGGCAUAACGUAUAUCCCACUUUGGAAGUUUGAAUAUAACCUGAGGAAAGGUGCUAGUAUAAAAAAUUAAAACCAACCAACAGUUGUUGUUUGAUGAAAGGGGCUUUCACUUUGUUGCAAGGCCCAAUAGGUAAGUUUGAAAAACCAGUAAGUUUAAAAUAUAAAUUAACAAACAUAAAAACUGGUUAUAACUGUUAUCGAUUCAUCGGUUAACGGUUCAACCGCGAGGUUUAGUGAACUUUUAAUAGUGUGAUAUAUUCAAUUUAUAACAUGUAAUUGGCUUGGCUUUGGGCCCGGUUCCCGAUGCUACCGAUUGAACCGGUGAGGCCAGGUGAUUUUAAUAACAUUGCGUAGGCCUUUCAUCUUAUGCGUAAACAUAAACAAUAAAUGAACAACUCUCAAAAAAUAGGGUGUGAAGAUUGUUGAACCCACAUUGUAGUGAUUACGUGGACAACAGAUGUUGAGCCGCACUCACAUUUACACAAGCAAGUUUCAACAUGUUUUGAUCGGAAAUCCAAAUGGAGAUGGACGAUGUUUAUGAACACGGAAGAUACUUGAGAAACCAAUAAGUAAGUUUGAAAAAUAUAAAUUAACAAACCUGAAAAUCAGUUAUAAGUGUUACCGGUUCACCAGUUAGCGGUUCAACCGGGCGGUUUAGUGAAUUUUUAACAAUUUGUGAUAUAUCCGAUUUAUAUCAUAUAAUUGGCCUGCUUUGUGCUCAGUUCCCAGUUUUAUCGGUUGAACCAGCCGGGCAAGGCCAGUUUUAAUAACAUUGCUUGGGCCUUUCAUCUUAUGCAUAAACGUAAACACUGAAGGAACAACUCUCAAAAAAUAGGGUGUGAAGACUGUUGAACCCGCAUUGUAGUGAUUACGUGGACAACGGAUGUGGAGGCGCACUCAUGUAUACACAAGCAAGUUUCGAUGUGUUUUGAUCGAAAAUCCAGAUAGAGAUGAACAAUGUUUAUUAACGCAGGAGAUACUUGAGGACACAAGACAAAAAAGUUUGAGCACCGACAAUACGAUCAAGAGCGGUUUAACAUAAGCAUACAAUUUUGAAUAAUUCAACCAAAGUGAAAACAAACUAAACUCAAGUCAAUAAGUGUGGAAUCAUUGAGAGGAGAAAUUGAGUGUAGUUUUAAGUAUAUAGAGAUAUAUUAAGAACAAAUAUUAAAAGAGAUCCUCAUUUAUAAGGUUCCAAUUGAGAUGGUUGCCGUUGAAUUGGUACCACAUGGCUACAUCUCACAGACUGAUUUCACAUCACUCAGUCUGUUACGUAUUUAAUAUAUUGAGUGUCAGUUAUCCUACAUCCUAGGUCGACAGUUCUAACAUUUAUAUUAUUACAAACAUUACAUCUGUCAUUCCUAAAAAUUGCCUACAUAUCUUUUAAAAGAUAGUAAGGGCUUCAACUAAAGGGAGCUUCAGAUGGAGGGAUGGUUUUGGCUAAUUCAGAGGGAGCUUUGGCCAACAAUGUGAGAAACUUCAGGGGCAGGAAGCAUCGGCUCCAUUUUUUAGCUUGUUUUCUGACUGAUUGUUGACUUUACAUUCUACAUGGUCUGUGGCGUAGACUUUGAUUGGAGCUUCAAUUGUGAGGCGUAACAAUAGUCCCUAAGUCUCUACAUGAUCAUUAAUGUAUUGCAUGGACUUGUAUAGAAAAUUUUGUUGGACAGGUAAUCAUUUAGACAUCACAAUAGUCCCCCAAGUCUAAAUAUCAAUACUUAUAUUAUAAUUAGAAUUUGAAAGUAGAAUCAUUAUGAAUUGUUUGAGGUACUUAUAGAGGGUGCUAUUCGAAGCUAUGUGAAAACUCAACUUGUGGAAAAGAUAAAGGAGCAUCAGUUGAGGCAUUUUGUUGGAGGCUGUUGGCUUCGAAGUGGUCUUAUAUUCGAGGCCUUGCAAUGCUAUUAAUGCUAAAGCUGAUGUAGUAUGCUCUGCUAUUCUCUAAAGUGUAGAGGUAAUUUUGAAGNUUCAUAUUUUGAUUAUAACCAAAAAAUUAUUUUUAUCUCUAACAAAUUGAAUUCAAGUUUUCAUAGCUAUUGUUGUAAAAUUGCCAAUUAGAGACAAAAAAUUACUACCAAAAGAUUCAAAUUGUACGAUCAACAAAAAUCGAGAUGGAAACAAAUCACUCGAAGAAAAAUAACUUUAACAGUCAAACAUCGAAGAUAUUAGACUUAAGACAUUUUGAAUUUGUAUGUAAAAGUAAAAUGUUUUAAUAUUUAGCAAUGAAUCGUUAAAAGCUCAAAGAACGAAUUUUCAUGCACGAGAAAAAAUCACUUCAUAACAUUACUUGCAUAAAAUUAUUAUUUUUAAAAAAUUUCAACUUGAUAUAUAAACUUUUUACAAUAUCACUUGCCUUGAAAAUAAAUUGAAAAUGGUCAUUCAAAAGCCUACAUUUUUCAAAACAACCAAGAAAGAAAAAUUCUGGAAAAUUUGUCUAAGCGGAUGUCCGGGUGAGUCAGCGGACGUUUGGUUUGCCCAUUGAUCACUUUUUUAACUAUUUUGAAUUCUGACGUACAACAGCUAGUUUGACCGUCUUUUCAAAAAGCAGACAUCCGAAUGAGUUGUCCGAUUGGUCAGAAAGUUUAACAUUUUGACUACGAUAAAUAUAAUUUCACUCUGCAUUCAUUAUACACUUUUGAGAGCACUUUAAGUGAAAUACUUUUGAGCUAAAUUAAAUCAAUAUAUCUUGUUCAUCUUUAUCAAUUCUCUUACUCUGAAAAACUUUUAAUUGAAUCAACCUUCGAAAAUCAUUUUUCUCAUUAAAGUUUUUAUCACCUAAAACUUGAGAGCUUUAUUCAUUGCUGUUUAUUAAAGUGUUAGCCUAUUUUUUUCUUUGUACUUAAUUUUGAUUAUAUCAUUUAUUAAGAUAGAAGUCUCAAAUUGUAAAAUCAGUUCUCUUUAAAUCUUUGGGUCAUAUUGAAGUCCCGAAAAGCUCUAUAUUAUAUAAGAUUCGAUGCUCCUUGUUUGUAAGUUACCAAAAGCAUUGUAAAUGUUUGGAUUUUACCAUAAGUCAAUCAAAAUUUAGUGAAAAUACCUUUCUUUGUGAAGGAGAGCUUGAAAAUGGAAGACGUAAAUCAUUGGUUGGAAUCGAACAUCUACAAUUACAUUGUUUGCAUAAUCUCUUUUUCCUUAUUGCUUUCAUACUUGUGUAUUUUUCAUUGACUUAUUCAUUCUCAAUUUGUGUAAUUUUGAAUAAAUCUUCGUAAAAGUUUUCAAAACCAAUUUACCACUCCAUUGGUUAGCUAUUCUUGGACUUUCAGUUGGUAUCAGAGGAAGGUACUCAUUCGUAAAAGAUUUCACAAUAUUGAGAAGUGGCUAACACAACCUUCAAAAUCUUGAGGAGCAUUCUACAAAUCAACCUCUUUUCUUUGAUGGCACGCAUUAUAAUAAAUGAAAAAGCUAUGAUGAUGAUUUAAAUUCAAUGAAUCAAUUACAAUAUUUGGGUAGUUAUUGAAUAUGGUCUUUAUGUACCUACUAAAAUUAUUAAAGUUGAUGGCAAAGCCGAACAAACCAUUUCAAAACCUAGAGAGAAACAUGACGAAGAUGAUAAAAGAAAAUUAUCCUUGAAUGGUAGAGCAAAAAAUCUCCUUUAUUAUGCAUUAGAUAGAAACGAAUUUAGUCGUAUUAGCACAUGUGAUUCCGUAUAUGAUAUUUGACAUGCAUUAAAAGUUAUUCAUGUUGGCAGCACUAGUAAAGUAAAGGAAACCAAAAUUAAUCUCUUGGUUAAAGAAUUUGAAAACUUCUUUAUGAAACAAGAUGAACCUGUUGUUGACAUGAUUACUUAUUUUCACUGAUAUUGUUAAUGGCCUCAAAAGCUUUAAUUGCAAAUUUUCUAAUUGUGAGCUUGUAACUAAAAUGCUUAGGUUGCUAUUGGAAGAUUGGAGCUCAUUAAGGAUAUUGAUAGAGAAUACCAAAUAUAUCAACACAUAUCUUUUGGAAGAACUUUAUGGAACCUUGAUGACAUACUAGCUCAACAACGCAAAAACUAUUGAGAAAACAAAGAAAAGCAAAAAGGAAACAAAUGAGCCUCCUAAACGCCCAAUUGCUUUUAAAUCGGCAAUUGAAGAAGGAACUACAAGUGAAAAUAUGAGUGAUAAAAAUCUCGAUGAUCUAGUUCUUCUUGUCAAAAAAUGGAGAGGUUUUCAAAGUAAUCGAAGAUUCCUAAAGAAAGAAUAAAAUGGGGAAAAACGAAACAAGAAAAUCAUUUGCUAUGAUUGUGACAAACUUGAUCACAAUAGAGCUGAGUACCCAAAAAAGAAGAGAAAUAUCAAGAAAAAGGUAUUACAAGCAAUAUGGGAUAAGAGCUAUGAUGAUGAUCACGAUGAAAAUGAUAGUCAUGAAGAAAUUGUCAAUAUGUGCUUCGUGGCGAUUGAAGAUGAGUAAACUCUAUUGAAAUAUGUUCAUACGAUGAUUUAUCUACCUCCUGUGAUGGAAUUUUUGAGGAAUUUGAGAAGCUUGCUCUAAAUCACUCUAUUGUUAAAAAGAAGCAAAAGUAAAAUGAAGAAGUAUUAGAAACUCAAAAGAAAAGGUUGAAAAUUUAACUAAAAUUAUUUGUAAAUUUACUCAAGGUAAGAAGAAAUUUUGAUUUAAUGCUUGGUGAUCAAAAGUGUGUUUUUGAUAAAGGAUGAAUUGAAUAUAAACAUUUUUGAAACGAAAUUCUUUCAAAAAUCUAUUCGUCAAAACUUCAAAUAUCACUCCUUCAAAAACGACAUGUAGCUUUUGCAACAAAAAUAGACAUAUUGCUUAUAAUUAUCUAACCAAAAAGAGGCUACACUUUAAAAGUAAAAGCAAAUGGAUUCGAGAAUCCAUCAAAACUAGGAUCCAAACUUAUACGGGUACCAAAGAUCAAAAAUUAAAUUAUUUUUUGUAUGUAACAAAGAAGAAGAAAAACAAAUGGUUCUUGAAUAGUGGAUGCUCAAAACACAUGAUCAUAUAUAGAAUGCUACUAUCAAAUUUCAAAAAGAAUAAUGAAGGCCAUGUCACAUUUGGAGACAAUGCAAAAGGAAAAAUUAUUGGAAUUUGAAACAUUGGUAAUCAUUCUUCUUCUAUUAAAAAUGUGCUACUGGUGGAUAAUCUCUAACAUCAUUUGCUUAGUAUUAGUUAAUUAUGUGAUAAAGAAUAUUAUAUUAAAUUCGAUUAUUCUAAAUGUCCUAUUAAGGAUGCUAUAUCAAACGAGGUAAUGUUUAUAGGGAGCCGAAGCAAAGAUGUUUAUAUCAUAAAUAAUGAAUUUGAAAGUAAUCAAAAAUAUUUAUCAAGUUUAAAUGAGGAUACUUGGUUGUAGCAUAGACGAUUAGAUCAUGUUAACAUGAAUCUUCUUUCCAAAAUCUCCAAGAAUUAUCUUGUCAAAGGUUAACUAAAAAGUUUCUUAAAGAUAAAAUUUGUAACUCAUGUCAAUUUGAUAAACAAGUGAAAAAGCUCUUUUAAACCUAAACUAUAUUCUAUGACUACAAAACCACUUCAUUUACUCCACAUAGAUCUCUUAGGACCUUCUAGAACUGCUAGUUUAGGUGUAAAACAUUAUGCUUUCGUUAUUGUUGAGGAUUUUUUUAGAUUUACUUGGGUUCUCUUUUCAAAUCUAAAAGAUGAAACUUUAAAUGUAUUUAAACAUCUUUAUAAAAAGGUUCAAAAUGAAAAAUGACACUCUAUUACAACUAUUAGAAGUGAUUAUGGUAGAAAAUUUGAUAACAUCGUUUUAAAUAAUUUUUGUAAUGAAAAUGGAUAUGAAUAUAAUUUCUCAGCUCUUAGAACUCCUCAAUAAAAUGGUGUAGUAGAAAGGAAGAAUCGCACAUUACAAGAAAUGACUUGGAUCAUGUUAAAUGAAAAUAACAUGCCAAAGUACUUUUUGGUCGAAGUUUUUAACAUCGCUUGCUAUAUUGUUAAUAGAGUGUUAGUUAGUUGAAAUAAAACUAAAACUCCCUGUGAGCUUUGAAAAAAUAUAACUUCAAAUAUCGGUUAUUUCAAAGUAUUUAACUGCAAAUGCUUUAUUUUAAUUUACAAACUCAUUUCUUAACUUCACUUAUAUUUUCGUUAGAUUAUUACAAAGAAUAUAAGUCUCGAGCUAACAUGACGAUACAAUGUAGAUUAGCACGUUCCCUCUCUAUUUUAAAUCAAAAAAAUAAGUUCUAAAGUCAAUUUCUAAACAGUAAAUUCAUGAUUCACGUAUCUAGAAAGUAGUACCAUAUUCAACAUCUUUUCUCAAAGAUAUAGUAGCAUGCCCUGAACGUUUACUAUAAAGAAAAGAGACUAACUUGGUUCAAUAAUAGGAAAGUAGAUAAAAAAGGACUAAAAAUAGAACCAUAAAUUAACACUAAUUAGGGUCUUAAAUUUAGCAACUCUUCCAUGCCAAUAAUAGACUGAAAUGGUCAAGGAAAUCAUACUCCACUUCUUCGUCACAAGUGUCCUCAAGUGGUGGCAUUUUUUCAUCACCAUUAUCACUUUUAGUUUCUACCUUUCCAUUAGCACGUGCAAUCAUGGUUCUCUUAUUUGGACAUUGUAAAGCAACAUGACCUAUUCCCAAACAACGAAAACACUUAAUAUCACAAUCAUAAGCUUAGGGUUCGAUUUUACCUUUGUUGACACUUAGCACUUUAUAUGUUCUCUUCGGUGGUUUGAUUUUGUUUUUAAAGACAACCCCUUUUAUCAUUCUUCUAAGUUAUCUUCCAUGGAGUAGAUUAGCUCAUAUUUUGGGAUGUUCGAUUCCAUUUCUCUUAUGCUGUCAUUCCACCUUUGUUGUCUCGUGCACCAUAUAUUCCAAUUCCACAUAAUGUUACAAUUCCACCACAUUAGCAAUGUCCCAGUUUAGCCCAUACAAAGAUCUUGCCAUCAUAGCUUCUCUAUCCUCCUCUACAUUAGCUCGAAUCAUGGAGAUCUCCAUUUCUUUGUAGUAAUCAUUCAUGCUCCAACAGCCUUGAAUAAGACUUUGUAAUUAUUGAUGUAAGUCCCUAUAGUACUAACUAGGAAUAAACCGUCUCCUCACUAUGGCCUUCAUUUCUCCCCAUGUCCCGAUAGGCCUCUCAUGGUUCCUCUUUCUAUUCAUCACAGGUUGAUCCCACCAUAUUAUAGCAUAAUCAAUAAACUCAAUGACAGCAAGCUUUGACAUUUUCCCUCGGAGUAGUUAUGGCACUCAAAGACCAACUCCGUUUUCUUCUAUCAUUCCAAGUAUGCUUCAGGAUCAUUUUUUCUUAGAAUGAUAGUAUCUUCAUUUUGAUGUUUUCUAGUUUCUUGUUAAAUCUGUCCCUCUUUCUCAGACUUCCUUGGAAACCUCUACCACGCCUUCCUUCUCUUUGGCAUGAGUCUCCCCUCAUCAUUUAAUGAGGUAUGAUCCUCCUUAUCUUCAAGCUCCUCCCUGUAGUCAACAUCAAAACCAUCCCCAGGCGAACACCUCUCAUGCCUUCAAUAAUUAGGGACUCUACCGGGAUGCCUCUCUUGCAAAGUAGGAAUUGCCUAUCCAUUCGAUCUUGAAUCUAAUUAAACAACAUGUUCAUGCAUUCAAAAUGUUGUUGUAUAGCUUGUAACGUAAAGAAUUGCCCCUCUCAUCCUUCUUGGUUUGGUGUGCCAUCCUAGGAAGGAAUUUCUUGAAAAUGUUGAAAAAAAAUGUUAAAAAUACAUCCUCACAACACUCUCUUACAUGUUUGCACUCAAAUUAUGUCACUGACGCUCUUGUUUCACUCUUGAAUUGGCUUUUUUCAAAAUUAGUCUUCAUUCUCUUGCCUUUUUCCACUCAUAGCUUUCCCUUUUCAGUUCUUUAUCAAACUAAUAAACUCGAUCAAGAAAACCCAACUUUUAUUAUUAAACCAAUACCAACUAUGAGAAGAAAAUAUUAGAACAAUUAAUUCAAAGAAAAUAUAGAAUUUAUAAAAAUCGCUAAUCAAAGGAAAGGACAAUGAAUCAACGGCAAAGGAUAGAUAUCAGAUUUUUUUUUAUUUUUUUAUUUUUAGAGAAUCGAUGCUACAAAGAUCACAAUUCAAGCAAAGUAUAACUUUGACGAUAUUAGUUGCCUCAGCAUUACGUCUCUUUUUUUUCUUUUUCUUUUUUUCCUUUUUUGAUGUCUUUUUUUUUUUUUUUUUGGUGUUGAAUACAAAAUAGUAAUUAACAAGGAAAAUAUAACCUCAAAAUGGAAUAAGAAGAUUGAACUUGAUAAUUGAACACAAACUUAUCAAUUAACCCAAAGCCCAAUGAACAAUGGACACAAAUGGAUCAAGAUAGGAUGUUAACAAAAGAUAAAGGAUAGUAGACCUGAUUUUUGAACCUUGCUCUGAUACCAAACGAUGUGAAACUCAUCCAACACAUGAUGGGACUCAACAACACAAUUGGGAUUUCGUUUCCAAGGAAGUAAAAAUUAGAUUGAAUAGAAAAAAUCAUAAACAAAGGUUUAAGAUUCGAACGCCACAAGGAGAAAUCCUUGAUAAGUUCACAAGUUCUCCGAAGAACCAAAAGUGAAGCAACCUCACAUUCUAUUUGAGAUCAAUUCAAUGUCUCUUUAUUACAAAGUGUGCAUACUAUUAUAUAACGAAAAUAAGACUACAAUCAGCCCUACACGUCCACUAUAACGAAAGGAAUCUUGACAAUAGGAAAGUAGAUAAAAAGGACUAAAAAUAGACGCCUAAAUUAACACUAAAUUUGGUAUGAAAUUUAGCAACUCCUCCAUGCCAAUAAGAGACUGAAAUGGUCGAGGAAAUCACGUUUAAGGAAUAUUUUAAGGAAUGUUUGAAAUAAGUAAGUCAAUCUGCCACUUAAUUGGUCUGAGAUUGGAAAGUAAUUAGCCACUUUCUCCUUCUAAUUCUAUGUUCAAAUCAAGCAAUAACCAGCCUUUAAUCCAUGCCAUUUGUUAAGGAAAUUAUGCCCAAUCCUUUAGAGAAAAUUACCUAGAAAUCUACUUUUAAACAAUAGUUUUCAGAAAUAAAGAGAAUUAAUUUUUAUUUCACAAAUCAGGUGGUAAUUAGAACUUAUUAAAUUAAUUAAUACAUAGUUAAUAAUAGAAAAUAUUUUAUAACUUCCCCAGCCAAAACCAUCCACUCACUCAAAUUAAAUUUUUUCUGUCUCUCUUCCUUCUCUAGCGUCUUCCAAGGAUUGAUAAAAAUGGAAGAUUUCUAAAUUACAAAUAUCAAAAAUGUCAAAGUCAGGCGCCAUUGAUGGGACCCAUCAUGACAAAUCUACAACCAUGACUUUACCACCCCAUUUCGCCACAACUGCAGUCGUGGGUUUCUAUUAAUCGAACCAAAAUUUUGAUUCGAUUGUGUGUGCCUGUUCUUCUAAUUUUGAUUCAAUCAGUUGGUGUUUUUUUUCAAGGUGUUGGUGAAAGUUAUGGUAGUAAUAAUUGUUGUUGUGGAUUUGAGUUAAAGAUGUUAGUAGUGGUGGUGGUUAUUAUUUUUUUGAACUGAUCUGUUGUGGUGGUUGGAGAUCUGGUUUUUUCUGAUUGAGAUCUGCUUGUGACUGUUUGUGACCUAUUUUGUGUUGAUUGUGUUGUGACUUAAAAUUGAUCUGGUCAUAGACAGUCACAUUGAAUACAAACUUGGUCACAGAUCUCGUAUUAAUUUACCCCAGAUCUUGUAUCAAUUUUUAAUCCACACACUCUAUUUCUUCCCCCAAAAGUUAGUUCGGCACUCUCUUACCCAAAAAUCAGAUCUGCGUCUUCUUUCCGCCUACCCUCUAGAUUCCGACCACCUACCAUUUCUCUCAUCGGAAUUUCACGAGAAAAGUGUGGUAGUGCUGGUUGGUGUUUUUUGAAGGGUUGGUGGAAGUUAUAGUAGUGAUGAUUGUUGUGGAUUUGAGGUGAAUGUAGUAUUUAUGGUCAUCAAUUUGAGUUAAAGAUGUUAGUAGUGGUGGUGGUUAUUAUUUUUCCGAACAUAUCUGCUGUGGUAGUUGGAAAGUUGGUUUUUUCUGUUCGAGAUUUGGUUGUGACUGUUUGUUACCAAUUUUGUAUUGAUUGUGACUUGAGAUUGAUUUGGUCACAGAAAGUCACAAUGAAUACAAAUUUGAUCACAAUUAGUUACAUCAAAGUCAAAGUUGGUCACGGUGAUUUUCAAAUAACAUAAGUCAAUGAAUUGGUCACAUAUAACACAAGUAUGGUCACAAAUAACACGUGAAAUUUCAAACUUUAUUUCUUAAUAUUGAAAUUGAUCAUAUGCAUAUUCAUCCCACUUAAUUAGGUCACAGAUUCAAUAGAACUAGUCACAGAUCUAAUGGAACUGAUAACAGGUUAUAGCCAAAAAAGAAGAAAAAUGUAGUCACUGGAAAGGUGAUCGGUCAUCGGAAUAUUCGUCGAACAGCUGUUGGAGCAUCGUUGGGAGGUCCACGGAUCGUCUCCAGAGCGAUCGUCAAAAUUGUCAUCGUAGCAGUCGCCGGAAUUGUUGUCGGAGCCGUCGCUAAAGAAGUUGCGAGAGGUGGGGUGGGGUGGAGAGAGAAAUAGAACGGUUUGAUGUGAUGGGUGGGUGGGGUUGGAGGUGAGGUAGGGUGGAUAAGUAAAUUAAUUAUACUAUACUAUAAUUAAUAUUUAAUAAAUUUAAUUAUCACAUAAUUUUUGAAAGAUUUUUAGAAAUUUGUUAAUUUUGAAAUGUGAUUUUGAAAUGGAGGAUUUAUGCGAUGUUCCCUUAAAUUUAAUAUGUCUUCAUCUCCCUCUGGGCCAAGCUUCGAAUGCGCCGUUUCAGAAUCAGCCGAGUCUCUUGAAUCAGCCCAUUAAGUACUUCUUUGAUCUUCUUGGAUCUAGCUCUUGCAAUGGGCCAAACUGGAACAUGCAAUGGAUCUUUGGAGGUGUCUUGCGGCAAUUUCUCAUCAAAUAUUUAAAAAGGGGAUGGAUAUAUAUAUCUAUAUAUAUAUAUAUUAAAUUUCAAAAAUUUUCACUAUAUGAAAAACUGUUACAAUAACGUAUAAGCUUCCCUCAUCAAACAGCAACGAGUAUCCUAGAGAAAAAAUCAUUAAAGUUUUAUUGCUUCUACCAAUUUUUACUCCUUGUAUAACUCACGAUAAGACCCUCAAGUCAAGUCCAUAAAAGAGAAAUAACAUAUCAAUUUAGAAUAAACAAUUGCUUUCAACAUUGCCCCAAAUUCGUGUGCCCAAGGAAAGUCUUCAAUUUAAUUGGUCACCAGUUUAGCCCUUGUGUGGGAGUGGUUUUUCGAAAAUCUUUUUUUUUCCAAACUCAUUUUCAACUACAUAUUUUAAAGAAAAUCAUUUUUCACGUUUCUCAUAUUUUUUUUCAACUUUUUCUGUUUACAUUUCUUACUUUUUAUGUUUACAUUUCUUAAAAAAAAACUUUUCGAGAAGAUCUCUUCCACAUAAACACUUAAUUAUGACAUUUUCUCGCAUCUUUUGCUAUUGCUACCACAUUCAGAACAUUUCCAAUAGCAAAAAUCAAGCACGGAGUUAUAUCUAAUUUGGUAAUUGGUUAACAAAGUUUCUUUUGUUUCAUAUUUAAAUUGGGAUGAAAAUAUUUGGCACAUUUUGAGGUAACUAUCCAAACAUAAAUAAUGAUUAUUUAUGUUUUAAUAUUUUUAAUAUUUAAUAUCUAAUAGAAUUUUAUGAUUCUCAACUCUGCAAGACGCCUUCACCAAUCCAAUUCUGAAAGACAAUUUUGAAAGAUUGAUUCUCUCCUUAACCGUACUUAUUUUACUGUUUAUUAAUGAGUUCACUUUCCUCUAGUAAUUUUUUUCUCUCUCUCAAGAACUCGUGAUUUUGUAUUCAUAUUUUAAUGAAUUCAAAUCUGAAUUUGAUGAGAUCAAGUCUAAUUCAAGUAGUAAAAGUGAAGCUUAUUAACUUGUGUUCGAAUCUUUUUUGGAGGGUGAUCGUAUGAAAUCUUGCAAGUACCCAGUAUAUAAGAUAAGCAUCCCACGAAAACUAUGUUUUAAUUUAAAAUCAAUUAAUAUUAACUCCAAUCGAAUACUUAAGUUUGUAUAAAGAAAUUAUACUAAAUAACUAUUUAAACUAAAUAUUUUAAUGAGCUAAUUGUGAAAGCUUUUUGUAAACUUAGGUUGAAUAUUUAUUAAAACUUCGAAUCCUCUUAUUAUUCUAAUUUAAUGCAAAUCGACAUCAUGACAAUAUAUAUUCAUUCUUGUUGAUAAAUGUUUUUAAAUUAUUUAAUAAUCUCUCUCGAGUAGAAUUAAAUCUAUCACGUGACAUUUUUAUAUCUUUAUGAAAGAUGCAAAGAGAUCAUGAACUAAAAAUUUUAGAACGUCUACUAAAUUAUGUAAGGCACAAAGGUAUAUCUCUAUCAUCUAUCGGACCUCACAAAAUUGUUAUAAUGUGUUAUCUAUCUUAUUGUCUCUCUCAAUAAUAAUAAAAUUAAAAUUCACACACUAAUUCAAUGAAUGAUCAAGUAAUUGCAAAGCCUUAAACAAUCAUUCAAGAAUAAAUACAUAUUAGGUGGCCAAAUGUUUUGUAGAAUUUCACUUGGAUUUUGAUGAAUUAAGAAAAAUAUGAAAAAUUUUGAAGUUCUUGAAUCUCUCGACAGUUUCUUGAUUGUCUUCAAUUGCACUUUCUUCUUCUUUGCCCAAAACUCAAGGUUGAACCUUCAAAUGAGUGAAUUCUUAUAGCUUGACUCUUGAUUUUCCUAAAAGAAUGAUGGUUUGCCAUUCUUUGAUUACAAUAUUUCAUAAAUUAUAUGAUAUGAGAGGUUCCCUAAGGUUAUAAGAAAUGUCCAGUAUUUAUAAGUGUCGAGUUUAGAUCAAAAAAUUGUCUAAAGAUAGUUUCCAAAAGGAGUUUCAAUCAUAGAACGAAAGUUCUCGUCUUCCAGGAAAGUACUCCAUGCUCAUGCAUGGUUCAACAAAUUUGGCCUUAGGUUUUGCAUGUGCAUUCCCAUUUACAUCAUGCGCAAGUUUAGUUAUAUUGUCCCUGAACCCUGAAAGGUAGCUCAGUGGUCAGGCUUUGGGUUUACUCCCCAAUGGUCACCAGUUCAAGUCCCCUCAGAACGACUGAGGUGAGUAUCCGGCUAUAAAUUUCAGAGUCCCGUGGGAUUAGUUGAGGUGCGCGCAAGCUGGCCCAAACACCCAUGGUUAUAAAAAAAAAAGAAAGAAAGUUAUAUUGUCCCUUAACUUCUUUGAGAGUUGAUUUAGUCCUUUUCCUGCAAUUUUUGUCCGUUGUCUUCUAUUCUCGUCUAAUUCAUUCUUCACAUUUUUCAAUGUGAGAUUUGAGUCAACUUUGAGUAUUUACACUCUGGUUCCAAACUCUGAAAAGACUCAUUUUAAGCUUCAAUUUCACUUAUUUUCACUACAAUUGCAUCCAAAUUCAAGUUUUUCCUACAAUAAUCGAUAUUUAAACGAAUUAAGUAGUAAUUUAUUUGAAUAAACGUCUAAAUAUUCAAUUUUAAUGACCUAAAUAAGUAUCAAACUUACACGUAUCAAAGGGUAUGCCAGAGUAAUAGUUCUAUCCACAAAUUACGAUUUUUUACAAGCGAACAUAUUCUAUGAAUCAUUAAUAAUAAUGAUCUAUGAUGCAUCGGUUCAAAGUUUAUGCUAAACAAUGUGGACCUGACACAUUAAUUGACUAAUGAAUAAACUUAUCGUAAGUUUUGCUAGGUUUUAAUACCCAAUGAAUCUGGGCUAUGAUGUAAAUGUAGGAAUAUAAUUUUACAGGCCUCGAUCAUUGGUGAAUUGAUUAUCAACAACCAAUUCAGAGGUCCCAGGCUAUGAUGUAAACAUUGGAAGUAGUUUAAGAAAUUAAUGUUGUUCACGACUGAUAUAUAUUUUUCUAUUGGAUAGCUUUGAAUCUUGGCCCAUUUAACCCUUUUAUUGUCCAAUUAAAGUAUAACACAUUAUAUAUGUUGCUUUGAUCUAGUCGUCUAAUUGUGUGAUUUGCAUAUAAAUUGGAGAAAAAUGUAGUUGUUCCUUAGACCAAAAAUCAAUUGCCAUAGUGAAGAAAAAAUCGGUGACUUCCAUUGCAUAUUUGGCCUCUUCUUCAUUGUCUUUCUUCUUCACUUUGUGGCUACAAAUAAACACCAUUUGUCUUGUCCUUUGUAGAUGAGAUUGAGAAGCGAUCAAGGUAACUAUUGGUUGAGGAUUGGAGUAGUUUGGGUUGAUUGUUUGGUAGAGAAAAGUAACGUGAAAUUGAAUAUGAAAAACACCAUUUAAAAUAUAUUUGGAGCGAGCUUCCACUACAAUUGGUGUCAAAACUUCAAAGUGGUAGAUUUGGCUUAAAAAUAUGACCUAAAAUGACUAGAAAAAGUGUGAGAAUCAAAGCAUUAAGCAGAUUAAAAAGUUAUCUAAAAACUAUUAAAAAUCGAAGUUGUUAGUGCCAUGUUUGGCCAAAUCAGAAGGAGUUUGGUGAAACGGAGACUACCUACAUGGCGUGCAAGUGGAGGCACAUCGGAGUGAUCGAUGUAUAAACCAAUCUAGACGGUAAGUGUAGCGACAUGUGAAGCCCAUGCACAGAGACUCCAACAGUACAUGCGAUUCAGUGUCUUUAGGCAGUUUGUUCCUAACAUUAUUUCUUAUAAUUUAGUAUUGUUAGUCUUCUGUAUCAGGUUAUAUAAUAAAAUUUGGACGAAUUUGUCCUUUGCACGUUUGGGAUUCAUUCGUGGUUGAUUGAUUUCUACAAUAGCUAGGGACUUUAAGGCUAAUAGUAGUGAUCCUAAAGUGGUAAUUGACAUCUCUCAUUAUUUACAGACUCAGAUUAAUCCACUUUGGUAUAUUGGCUUAUCUCAUUUUAAAUUUUAGAAUCAGCAAGUCAUCAUGUAGGGUGAUAUUAGGAUUGGGGUUACCAUGUAGGGUAACCAUUGCUUGUACAAGAAAUUUAGGAAUUAUGUGUCAUAUUUAAAGUGUUGAAUUUAACUAAAAGUUGAUAAUUGCUUUUAUUUUUAAUUGCCAUUAAGUCACUAUGUGAGACCAUAUUGUGUAAGAAACUGAAUUUUUGUUGACAUACCUUCGUAUUGCAUUGAUUAUUAUGUUAGAACACCUAGACUUGACCCAUUUGAAUAUUCCCUUGACACUAAGACCUUGAAUCUUAUGAAAUCAUAAGAAUCUAGAACGGUAUAUAUUACAGUUUUAGGAUUACCUUGUAUGACCUAUUUAUGCUCUUUGAUUGUUCUGUUUUUUCAAAAUAUCUUCAAAUUUUGAAGUUGAAACUUUCAAUGGAAAAGAGAAAUUUUCUAUUUGGCAACAAAAGACGAAAGUGAUUUUAGUUUAACCAAAAGUUUGAAAAGUCAUAUAUAGCGAAUCUCUUACAAAUUUAACGGAAACAAAAAAAGAAAAAUAUGAUGAACUUGUUUACAUCUCAAUUAUUUUACACCUAUCUGAUACUAUUUUAAGAAACAUUUAAAAACUUGAUUAUACUACAUAACUUUGAAAAAAGUUGGAGAACUUAUAUUUGCUUAAAUUUACUCUUAAUAAGUUGUAUUUACUUGAAAGAUUUUUUCAGUUUUAAAAUGGAUUGUUCAAAGGAUUUUGAUAACAAUUUAGGUGUAUUUAACAAACUUAUGCAAAAUAUUAUUAGUUGUAAAGAGAAGGCGUCUAAAACUUAUAAGGCCAUUAUUUUGCCGAAUUUAAUGUCUGACUCAUAUAUGGAGGUUAAAAAUGAGAUUAUGGUAGGCACCUUAACGUCCGAGAUUGUUAUUGAUUUCUUUAGAAGUAAGUAGACAAAACUUAAGGUUGAAAAAGAUGAUAAGAGGAGUGAUGGGUUAUAGAUUAUGAAGAGUAUGAUGAAGUUUGAGCAAAUGAAUUUGGAUAGAACUCAAUAUAGCAAUGACUCAAGUGAUUAAGGUAGUAAGAAGAAUGAUAAAAGGUUGGGACAAGUUUAGUGGUAAGCGAUGUUGCGGCUAUGGUAAGUCAAAACACUUUGUAAAUGAUUAUCCGAAGAAGAAGGAUAAGUAAAAUGGUGAGAUGAGAGGUGAGGCAAAUGUGGCCACUCAACCCUAAUGAGGUUUAUCAUCUAUGUGUGAUCAUUUUUGCAUGUAUGUAAUUGCUUAAUUUUAUUGCAUGGUUAUAUGUUACGUUUCAAUGUAUUUGAUAUGUACAUUUACAUGAAUUUAGUAGCUAUCUAAUUACUUUGUAUAAUGUAUUUGCAUACAUAGUGGGUUGGAAUGCAUUAGCAACAAGUGUGUUGUGUCUAUUGAUGAUAUGGAGCAUAGAUGCCUAGAGGUACAUCGAUAGUAUGUCCGGAGAUGUGGAGUGUGAAAUCUGAAUCUUGAGUGGAGGUGUGAUUAAAUAUUGGAAUCCUUUAUCUAAGAAAACUCUGAUCAAGUGGAGUUUGAGAGGGACACUUCUAUCAUUUCUAUUGCCGGAGAUCCAUUAUCCACUUAGGUUGGGAGAGGUGAUGUGGUGAUAGAGGAUUAUUCUAUGGGCUUAGGAUCUAGUGCGAUUUAUCAGUUAGACAUGAGUUGAAUAAUCAGUCUAGUGAGCAUAAUGGGCGAUGAGAGGAGAUAUGUGUUCCCAAGGUGUGAGUCAUAUGGAAUGAGAUAGGAUAAGUAUGGUAAGUGAGAUCAUUUAUGCAUUUGUUGCAUAUGUAUUAGCCGCUUGAUUGAUUAACUUGGUAAAAUCCGUUGUUCUGUGUAAAAUUAUUUUUUGAAAAAUCUAUAUGUUAUCUUAUUUUAUAUCUUCAUCGAAUAUUUAUUUGCUCUAGAUUGUUUACUGUUAUUAUCUGCUUUUACUUUGGUGUUUUUGACCUUAGCCCUGGUGAGUAUAUAGAGAAAAUAUGUAUGUGUUUUCAAUCCCAAAAACAAGGAAGGUUUGUGACCCCAAUUUCAUUGGUUAUCUUGAUUAUGCAAAUAUUAACAUUGCGUUUUGAUUGAUUGCAGGUUAAUUGUGUAUCUAGCUAGAAAUUUGUUGGGUUUUAUACCCAAUGAAUCUUAGGUUAUGAUGUAAAUAUUGGAAUAUAAUUUCAUAUUCCGCAGUUAAUGUUGAAUUGAUUACCAAUAACCAAGCCCAAAUGUUAGACCCGAAAACAACGUGGACCAUUGGAAGUAACUUAAAAAAUUAAUGUUGCUCAUGGCUUAUAUAUAUAUAUAUAUAUAUAUAUAUAUAUACCUAUUGGAUGGUUUUGAAUCUUGGUCCAUUGAACUCUUUUAUAGGUCCAACUAAAACCUAACAUAUUCCUAUAUAUAACGUUGCUUUGACCAAGCUGUCUAAUUGUGUGAUUUGUGUAUGAAUUGUAGAAAAAAUGUGAAUGCUCCUAAGAUCAAAAAUCGGUUGCCAUAGUGAAGAAAAAUCGAUUACUUCCAUCGCAUAUUUGGCGUCCUCUUUGUACUUCAUGGCUACAAAUCAUCACCAUUGUCUUGUCUUUUGUGGGUAAAAUUAAUAAGCAGCCAGGCUAAAUAUUGAUUGUCGAUUGGAGCAAUUUAGAUUAGUUGUUUGAUAGAGAAAGGUAACGUGAAAUUGAGCUUGGAAAACACCAUUUAGAAGAUCUUUAGAGCGAGUUUCAGUAACAAGUUUUAAUAUUUCAAUUAAUUUUUUAUCCACCAAUGUAUUAAAGUCAUGUAAUGAUUUUUAACAUAAGCUAAACACAUGCCUUAGUUUUAAUAAAUUUUGUUCAAUUCAUUGACCAUCUCUCUUUAUGUUAUAUAAUGAUACCAUAAAAGAUAGAAUAAUUUAUUUGUCCACGAAGUGAUAAGGUCCACCUUCAUUUGAAACAACGCUAUGGGCUUGUUUGAGCCAAAUUAUUUUCAAAAAAAUACAUUUUUUAACAAUGAUUUGACAUCAUUUCAAUUACACAUUCUUCAAUAAAAUAAUGUUACACAUAAAUAUAAAACAUUUUUCUUAUUUUUUAACCACACAUUUUUCAUUGAUUUGACAUAAAUAAUGCAUUUUUUUUCCUAAAAUGUGGCUCAAACAUGGGCUAUGUAUUUGCACAAUUCAAUUAAUAUUGAGCGAUCCAAAUUCAGCUUAGAUUUGAAGAAUUCCUUCUCCAGGUCAAGAUUGUUAGAAUCUAUUUGGUAGCAAUUAGAAGUAAGAUUUUAAUUCUAGUCAAAGUUAACAAUUUAUUUUAAUAAUACAUUUUAAGGGAUUCACAACUUUUCAACCACACAUUUCAUCAGCUUCUAUGAAAAUCUUCUAAAAAUCUUAUUUUAAUCAUUAGCAAACAAGGGAUUAAAUGUGUUCCCCUACCACCCAAGUAUAUAUAUUGGCAUUACCGUUGGAAGAGGAAAAACACAACAAUAGCCAUUUCUCAAAGUAGGGUUUUUUUUAGGGCAAAAUUAGGUCUAGUAUUUGCCAUUCUGUGUUUGUCCUUAUUUUAAUGGACUAUGCUAUGUGUACAAACUUUUUUUUACAAAAUUUCUUACUCAAUAUUCACAACAGGAGAUGGGGACCACAAGCCGACAUUUUUUAAAUUCACGCGGGAUCUACUUUUUUGUGAGGGUUUGUAACACAUUUUGUACAAAUGUGUUUGUGUACACCUCUUUAUCCUAUUUUAAUUAGUAUGUGAGGGUCAGGAACAUGGAUCUCAUUAUCCUCCAUCAAUCAACUUUGCUAAACAAGAGUGUGCUCCAUAUCAAGUGAUUCGUAGAGAGAAAGAAUUUGAAAUACGAAGUUACAAAGAAUCCUUAUGGAUUUCUACUCGUGCCGUCGCCUCAGAGUCGUACAAAAAUGCAGUCCGUGAUGGUUUCAUCAUGUAAGAAAUUGAACUCUUUUUUCAUAUCAAACUUUAUGUAAGUUCCUUAGGGGUCAUAAGUGUGCGAAGAAUGAUUUUAUUUGGUUUGAAUUUUGAACAGCUUGUUCAACUACAUUAAUGGCGAGAAUCGUGACAACGUGAAGAUCGAUAAGAUGGCACCUGUUUUAGUUGAUAUCCUUAAAAAUUCAUCUUUGAAGGUGAAUUUGUAUGUUGCUCAAAAAUUUCAAAAUGUUCCUCUUCCCCAGGAUAAAGUGAAACCUAUAAAAUUGCCACAAGUUUGUUGCAGUGAGAAGAUUUAGUAGGUUGAUUGACGAGGCUAAACUUGCUACAGAAUUAUUAGAGUUGAAGGAGCAAUAGCCUCUAUUGCUUAUAGUGAGGCAUGAUGCAGAUUAUAAUCUACCAUGGCAACAAUAGUGUUCUAAAUGGCGCCGUCAAGGUGCGCUUAGGUGUGAUGCUUGGCUAAAACGUCAAGCCAAGUGGUUUGACACCUUAUUUGACGGUCAACGACAAUCAUUGAUUGUUUAGACGCACCUAAACGCAAUUAUGCGCGCAUUGACACGCAUUAUCAUCCUUUUUUAUUUUUUUUUAAAUUUAAUGGUUAAUUUCUUCGUUUUGCACAAAUUUAAAACCACCACUUGAACGUUAAAUAAGAUUUAAGUUUCUAUGCUAUUUAUUUGCUAUUUUGUAUUUAAAUUUGAAACUUAUCUUUUCGUUGGAAAUUUUGAAAAAAUGUAUAAAGUUCCUAUAAAUCUUUUUGAAAUGUUUAGUAAGUAUUAUUUUUAAUUAUUAAAUAAUAGUUUGAUUUAUUAAAAAUUGAAAUAAUAUUAAAAUAAGAAAACUCCUUUUUACGCCUAAACCUCACUUAAAUUCACGUAACCCAUAGCUUGACUUCCAUACAUCGCCACGUAUUACGUUUUUUUUAAACACUAGCAAUAGCAAUAGCAAUAGCAAUAGCAAUAGCAAUAGUGUCAAUGAAAUUAUAUUGUCCUUCGGAAAUACUAACUAAUAUUUGAGUAAUAUAAUAUCUGAAUUUUUAGCCUCUGUUUGAUGGGGAUUAAAAUCAGAAUUUUAGUAUAUUUUAAUAAAAGUCGAUGAAAUGUGUAGUUGAAAGUUGUAGAUCCCAUAAAAUGUGUGGUUAAAAUUCAUUAUUGAUCUUGACUUAGACUUAAAUUAAAAUUUUACUUAACAUUGGCUAAAUGUUCAUCAUAACUCAUUUAUUUAAUCAUUGUGAACUUCUAAAUGAUGAUCAACAAGCACCUCUCAGCUACGCAAGGUUUUCUCCUCGUUAACUCACUGUCUUGCUGCUCAAGAAGAGAAAUGUUUAUUUGGAAGGAAGCUAUUUCAAAUUCAACAUGCCUUCCCUCAUCACAGACUUGCCUAUUUAUAGAUUUUUAUCUAGAUAUUGGGGUAGAAUGACAUUUUUUUUAAUUAGUGACAUGUGACAGCCUUUCAUCGAAUGAUUUCUAAUUAAUUCUGUUAUCUGUUCACAUUUUAGUCAUCUGUUUAAUCUUUUCAUUUUUGUUCAAGUAUAUUGGUUUACAUCGUGUAUUUAAGGUUGUCUAUGAAUUUUUUUCCCUUGUAUUUUUAGCUCAUUUUGGAUUCUGGUGUAUUUUUUACCUUUUUAAAAUUUUUGCUUAGAUGAAUAUUUCUGAUAUAACAAUCAUCACUUAAUAAUUUAAUCAUAAGAAAUGCAAUGUUGAAUCUGGAUCUAAAUUGAUUUUCUCCAUUAUUGAGAAUUUAAUAUACAACUGUUUGGGACAAUGCCAACAAAGAAAAAUAGACAUGCCGCUGUAAGUAGUUUAGACUUUAGGGAGACAUAAAAGUGAGAAUUGAGUCUCUCUCCAAUCAUUUUCUCUCCUUUGUUUUAUUAAUAAUAUUAUAUUUACUAUUUUCUACUACAUUCCAUCUAAAUUUCAACCUAGUAAUCUGCUUUCGACCAUUGUAAUCAUAAAUUAAUAAUUUUCCCAACAUUAUAGUAACACACUAACCUUCUGUAGUUCACAUUAGGCCCGUUUGGUACACAUUUUUGUAAGAAUGAAAAUAAAAAAUAUAGUUGUUACGGGAUCCACACAAGAAAUGAAAAGUCAAAUAUUAUGAUUUGAUGUGAUGAAUAACCGUUAUAUUUUUCAUUUUUGCGGCCAAAGAAUGAAAGCAAACGGGGGCUUAACAUUAAAAAUUUCAGUUUCUCAAAAUUAACUGCCCCCCAUCUUUUAAACUAGAAAGGAGGUUGUCAAAACCCAAUAAAUGCCAUCGGCAACAUCACUUAGCUCACUUGCCUUUGCUGCGAUCAGAAUGAAUGAUUUCCAAUAUGAAAUUUCAUUUCUAAAAGGGUAUUACGCAACAAAAUGUAACCUAUUUUUAAAAAAAACGGCAUUUUGCAUAGCGAUGUACCGAGAACCACACAAAUACCCGUAGAGUACAAGACCAUUGACAUUAUAAUAAGAUUUGAUAGGGAUUAAAAUCAAUAUUUUAGUAGAUUUUGAUUAAAACUGAUAAAAUGUGUGGUUGAAAAGUUCUGAAUCCCACAAAAUGUGUGGUCAAAAUUAAUUAUUGACUUUGAAUUUGAUUAAAAUCUGAAUGUAUGUUUGGGCCACGUUAUUUUGAAAGAAUAUAUUCUAGAAUAAUAGAUUGAUACAGAAUGUGUAGUUAAAAAUGAGAAUAAGUUUUGAAUUUACGUGUAAUAUUAUUUUAUUGAAAAAUGUGUGACUGAAAUUAUGUCAAACUAUUUAAAAAUGUAUAUAUAUUUUUGAAGAGAAUGCGACUCAAACAUUGCCUGAAUUUUGAUUCGCACCUAGCAGGAGAUAAAGUUGGCUAUUCAUCAUAGUAAGACUAAGAGGGCGUUUGCUAGCCAUUUUUAUAUAAAAAUGCAUUUUAGAAUAGUAUAUUGAUGGAAAAUGUGUGGUUGAAAAAUAAGAAUUUUUUUAAUUUACGUGUAAUAUUAUUUUAAUAAAAAAUGUGUGAUUGAAAAGAAGAGAGAGACAAAUGCAUUUUAAAAAAAUGAGUACCAAACGGGCCUAAAAAAAGAUAGAUGGUUAUUUUGAAUUUUUAUUAGUGAAUGAAUGUCAAGGCAGCUGAGCUAUUCCGAAUACGCUCUGUGGAGCCUUUCAAAUCAAGAAUUAUUGGCUAAUGAUAAUGUGCACGCAAUUUAGCCUUGAAAAGUAGGUAAUUUGACAAUUAGUACAAGAUAAGUCGAUAAAGCAGGCUCCAGCAUUAGGCUAGCUACUCGAUUUACAGAAUUUCCUCAAUUUUUAAAAUUCACAUAUUUUUUCCAUUAUUUUUCUUAUGAAAAAAAUCCUUCAAUAAUUAAUAACAUUAAAAAAAAUUCUUAAAGAUUGCAAACAUUCUUUUGAUUAAAAAUAGUUAAAAAAUGAAUAAUAUAACAAAUUUUCAAAAUUUAAUUUACCAAGGAAAAUUUUAUCAAUACAUAAAUUAAUAAAAACAUAAAAAUUAUACACCAGCUAAAAUUUUUAUUAGAACAAAUUUAAAAAAUAAUUUACAAGUUGGUAAUAUUAUAAGGAAAUAGUAUAAAGUGAUUUUACCUUAUUUAUGAGUAUGUUAAAAAAUCAAAGUGCAUAGAUAGAGUAAAUUUUUUGGAGUGACAUAACUAACAACAUUGUUGUCAUAGUUGUCUAUGAAGGUUUAUCAAUGAUUGCCACAAGCAUCGUGUCAAUAAUUUUGUGUGAAUCGUCAACAUAUAUCAAUUUCAAUUAGAAUCACCAAUAGCUAUAUCGUCAGUAAUUAAUUACCAAUGAAGUCGACGGUGAUUUCCAACAACACCAUCGACGUUGCUAUCAAUGAUCGCUGAGGAAGUGAGUUUAUGAUUAUCAAUUAUAUUGUUGUUGGUGAUUCCGUGAGAAUAGUCAAUAGAUUUUGAUCUCAAUCAAAAUUAUAACCAUAAUACCAUUGACAAAUCAUCGACAUAAUUUUCCUCCAUGAUCAUUUGGUUCAUUAAUUUUUUUUUUCAUUAUCGCUUUAAAGAAACUCCCUCGACAAUUUUACUUUAGGGUACGUUUGAUUGAGAGUAUGGAAUUUGCAUGGAAAAAAUUUACUUUUAUUGAAUUUAUUAAUUAAAGGUAUUUAAUUGAUUUAGUUUUCAAGUUAGAAAAUAUUAUAUUUGCUCAUUUUUUAGUCGUGGGUAGAUAGAUGGGAGAGAAAUAAAAAUGAAUUCUCUGAAAAAUAAAAUCAUACUAUUAUGAAGAAAAUAUUUUCCUUGAUUUUGAGGGAUAAAUGGUCACGUGACUAAAAGUAGGAAAAUAUUUUCUAUGAAAAAUGUUAAUCAAACAGCAAAAAAAAAAGUAGAAAUUUUGGUGGAAAAAACACAAUUUUCAUGAAAAAUAUUGGCAAUCAAACGCACCCUUAGUCUUUUUAAUGUUUAGAGAAGUUCCAAGUGUUGGAAAAAAAAAAAAACAAUUAGAGCGUGUUUGAUUGCCAAUAUUUUCUAUGAAAAAUGUCAUUUUUUUCAUCUGAAUCCCUACUUUUGUGUUGUUUGAUUGAUAUUUUUCCCAGGAAAAAUAUUUUCAUAUUUUUGGUCACGCAACCACAUUUUCCUUGAAAAAGAAUAAAAAUAUUUUCUUUAGGGAAUUAGGUUUUUAUUUUCCUAGUAAUUCGUACUCUCUCUCUCAGAUCUAUCUACCAAUAAAUAAAUAUAAUAUUUUUUAAAUUGAAAAUUUUCUUUCAACAUAAAUUCCAUACUUGCAAUCGAAAAGACUCUUAAUUCCUGUGGGGAGGGGAGUUUAUGGUGCUUUUUAAGCUACUUAAUUAGAGUAAUUCAUUUUGGACACAAAACGCAAAUCAGUUACAAAACGAGACAAUUUAAAUUUCAACGGUAUGUUUUUAUCCUUUCAAGAUGUCAAUUGUCUAGGUAUGAAUUACUUCAAACGAGCUUCUGAGAUCUUAAAUGUUAUCCUGUUACCAAGUGAAUAGCGUUUUGGCAUUUGAAGUUGGCCACGUCAGCAUAGAAUGUUCUAAAAGUUCAUUUUUAUACACGUUGGACAGGAUACUACUAUGUCAAAGUGUUUUCUUAUCUAUUGUCUUUAAUUUAUGAGUGGAAUUAGUUGAAAUCUUAUGGAUUGUGGAGAACUUAGAUUCUACAAGUAUUUUGGUCGAUGAAGUUACAACUGAACAUCUUGCAGAAUGAAAACAAAAGUUGGAAUAUAUUAUGGAUCCUUCCUUUAUAAACCUGUCAACAAAUUAUACAUUUGUUUGGAAGAGAUUUUUCUUGGGGAAAAAAAUGAUUUUUUGAGAAUGUGCAGUUAAAAAUGAGGGAAAUUUAUUGGGCCACGUGGAAAAUAAUUUUUCUUUUUUGGAGAAUGUGUUGUUGAAAUAGUUUGGAAAAAAAUUAUUUUUGAAAAAUCUCUUCCAGACAAGCUCUAUUAAUUAAGCUAGGCUUAGUUCAUGUUUAUAUUGGCUUAAUAAAUAGAUAAAAAUGAGUGGCGGAGAUUUUUGUGUGCUCUACGGAAUGUGUGGACAAUAAGUGAGUAGUAUUUGUGAGUAAUUGUGGUCAUAGGAAAUGUAUGGUUAAAAUUAAAGUUUAACCAACUUAAAUUAUUAGUCGCGCUAACCCAAACAUGCACUUAAUUUGUUUGUGGGACUUCUCUGUCUUCCCUCAGAUGGCGCACCUUUACUAAUUUGGUAUUUGACUGUAGUUCAUUUGCAUGGCAAGGUGUGGAUAGUCCAUGGACCUUGUUGUGAAAUGUCAGAAGGGCUAUGUUGGAAUUAUUUGUGCUAAAGACGACUUAGACGAGGAGCAAAAAUAAUAACAUAGCUCCUUGCAUCUAUUUCGUAUCAAAUGUUCUGUUUUCACAUAUUGUUGUCGUGUUCACUUUGUUUAGCCCUAGGAAUCUAUAGGUGGGCCCAGCAGUAUGAAACUGCUGUCACGAUGCAUGCGAUAAAAAGGUAUACAUGGAUAUCAUACAAGCAUGAAAGUAGUCCAUCUUCGAGCUUGAGUAGAAUAAUUGUCUUAUAUUCCACAACACACUAGAUGUCAUAUUAAUGGAAUACGGUUCACUUUUAAGACUUCUUUGCAACUUGGACGAACUAUCUAUUAUUCAGUCAAAAAGUUAUGGAACGUUCU
This 81661-nucleotide long non-coding RNA is filed under the name Olea europaea (common olive). RNAcentral describes it as "long non-coding RNA (OEUR_LNC002196)". Lineage: Eukaryota; Viridiplantae; Streptophyta; Magnoliopsida; Lamiales; Oleaceae. The record is from RNAcentral.